UGCUUAACGACGGUGAGUGCCAAUUGGAUUCCAGGGCAACCCCUGCGGCCAGAACCAAAUGGCAAAAGCUGGAAGUCAUGUCCGAGAACAUCAACACUACUCCCAACAAAUCUUUCCGGAAAAAACGUCUCAGGAUCAGUCCAGGCUUCAGGAUCUCUUCCAAUUGCCCAAGCGUUUACAAUUACUCGCGAUUUUUUGGGUAUGUGGAAUCCGUUAACUGUGCAAUCUUCCAUAGAUUCGUGUGGAGCCAUCAAUGGCGUUACAGGAUGAAGCCGCAGGGUUUCCCUGACAACCAUGUCUAGGUAUUCUAGGAUUUCCAAAUCUGAUUCUUCAACCAUUCUUUUUAAGCCCACAAUAUUUUCUAGCUCUCUUUGUAGUUUCUUCAUCACAGCAGGAUGCUUGAUGAGUUCUGAAAGUGCCCACUCGACUACCGUUGGUGAAGUGUCUAUUGCUCCCGCAAGCAUGUCCUGAAAUUGAGGAAACCAUAAAUGACUGAAGCAUAUAUCUAGGGUUAAAAAUGACUCAUGCAGAUGAUCUUCUAUGGCAUGUAUAUUGCUAUUUAUGUUUACUGGCCAAGAUCAAUUCUGAUAUUAUGUAUCAAUCACAUGUCUAUAUUUACUCAUGUGAAAGCCAACACGAACACUACAACAAACAGUUAUAUCACCGAUGAAAUAUAUCCGAGGGCGUAAAAUACCUUUGAUAAUAAAUACUUUUUCCUAAGGUGUAAGAUGGCCGUCGGAUAAGGAUGAAAAUAUAAUCAAUAUUCCCGAGGGCAAUUUGCCCUUGAUGAUAAUGAAUGCUUUGUCGAAAAUGCUUGCUAGACUUAACUAGAAGCACCCCAAAAUUUACACACUUCGGUCUUUGAAGUAGAGUACUAAAACCACAAGCCCACAGCCAUAACUUCCAAUAAUUUUUUUCUUUGGAGUAGCGUACUUGGCAAAUUUUUUUCUUGUAAAUUUAAUUACUCUUGGUAAAAUUAAAAACCUAAAAGAAUGAAAUACAAAUAAAAAGAGGAAAUAUCGGUUUGCUAAUAAAGUACGUAGAACAUCCAAGAAACUGAUUAAAAAAUAGAUGACCCAAAAAUUGACAAUUAAUACUCCUUCGUAAGAAACAUGAAUCGGAUAAUUUUGUAGCUAAAAUACAAAAUUCAGUCUCUGAUACCUUUUCGUUUUACACUUAAUCUAAGAACUUAUAAUGGGUCCCCUCUAGAAGGGGGGACAAAUUAUUCAAAAUAUGUGCAGCAAGAGUCUAGAAAUCAUCGGUUCUCUUGAAACUUAUGUUGGUUAUGGGAUUAAAGAAUUACUUAAUCGUACGAAAACCCAGUGGCGUAGGCGUGGCCAUAUUUUAUACAUAGCGAGGGCAAAUUUAAUAUACUUAAAGAAUGCGAUUUGAUGUGCUUACCAUAACUACGGCUUUGAUAUGCUCUCGAUCGAUCUUUUUCUCAGUGUCUUCUGAUCCCUCGAAGCUCAACAUCACGUCAACGAAAUCCUCGGUUCUAUUUUCAUCCUUAGAUUGAAUAUGCUCAUCGAUAAUCUUCUCCAUAAACGCAUCAAACACCUUGGCAACAGCCUUCGAACGCUUUGUCAGGCCCUGAAGAUCAAGUCCUGCAAUUUGAGGAAUGUAAUCACCCAAAUUAGGCUUCCCAACCAAUUCGAAGCCCUCUCGAAUCACAGUCUCAAACCCUCCCGAAUCGAAUUCAUUAUCCGAACGUUUCUUCCCAAGUACCAUUCUACAGGUCAUGUUAGUACUCAAAGCCGAAAGCUUGGCACUUAUGUCAACCACACAACGGGCAUGCGCCGCCUCUUUGAAGUACUCAAUCAAAAGAUCAAGGUCUUCUUUUCUUGUUGGUUGAAAAUAAUUGAUCUUGGCAUUACUCAACAGAUUUUGGGUGCAAAUUUUUCGGAUUUUUCUCCAAUAAGACCCAUAUGGGGCCAUUGCAAAAUUCUUUUGCUGAUAAGACAUAUACUUAGUAGCUUGAAGGGGAGGCCUGCUGGCAAAGAUAAGGUCAUGUGUUUUGAGAAAUUGCUCAGCUGCUUGUGGUGAAGAGACAACAAUUGUAGUCAUUAAGCCCAAGCGUAAGUGCAUGAUGGGGCCAUAUAUUUUGGCUAGUUUAUGUAAAGCUCUGGGAGGAAAUUUGCCCAACAAAUGAAGGCAUCCGAAAAUUGGAAACCCUUUUGGCCCUGGAGGUAAUAAUUUUCUGUUCUUUUUGUUUGUUUUCGAAGAAAAUGCUUGGAGGAAAAAGAAAAUUGCAGCUAGAGCAAGUAAAGUCGAUAACCACGACAUGAUGAUCUAUUAAUGCUAGGAAGUUGAGAAUCCAGUUUUCAGUGAUGAAGAUGCAGAAAUGGUGCAACUGGGACAUUUAUUUUUAUAGUUGGAGAAUUUGUUCGCAGUCAAGAGAGUUAGUGAAGGUGUUUAGUGAUGAGCAUAUAAUACAUACAUAUUUUACCCUUAAUUAUAUAAUUGCUAGUUAUGUUUAUUUAUUAUUUUUAAUUAAUUGAAUGAUUUUAUUGAAUAGGGAAUUAAUUGGGGAUUAGAAAUAAAAAGUACAAAAAGAAUAACAAUUUAAGGGAGUAUUAGUCGAAGCCGUGAUAGAGUUAAGAACCAAGAGCAUAUGAAAGCCAAGCAUGUGAAGCCAAGAGCAAUUUGCAUUUAAAAGGAAUUUCAAUUCUCCAAUUUAGUUGCACGUGCAUGGCAUUUUGGCAUUGCACUAUGUUAAAGGGGCCCGCAGUUGACUUUCAAAAGUUAGAAUUAAUGGCUUAUGGUAGCGUUAAAUUGGAAAAAAGAUUUCAAUUAGAAUUGAAAAAUGAUUUCUUUAGAAUUGUUGGAGAAGAAUUCGGUCAAUUUGCAUUAUAAAAGGAGGGCGGCCGCUAGAGGAAGAAAAAGGAAGCAAAGGCGAUUCGGUAGAGAGGAAAACGAAGAGCUGCAGCAAUUUACUUUUUCCAUGGCUGAUUUUAUUUUUUUUGUUGCUCUCAAUUCAAGUAUAUCUAGCUAAUUUUCUUAUACUGAGGUUAAGGAUGAAACCAUAUUCAAUGAAAUAAUUAUCUUUUUAUUUAAUUAAUUCCCUAUAUAUAUAUUUUUGAUGAUUGUGGUUUUUAUUUCACAUGAUUAGUUGGAUGUUAUUAAAGUCUUUUCAUCAAUUCUGUCAUGCAUUGUUGAUUGUUAGGAUUAAUAUUCGAUUAAAUCUAUGUUUGGAUCUAUAAAGUUUAUACAUGAUUAUCUUUGAUUCUAUAUCUUUUAUUAAAUUGUUUACAUAGAGUGCUUAGGGAAACUUUGACUCUUUGUUAUUUAAGAUGCUUACAUGGGAUGCUUAAAUAUCAUACUAUUAAGCAGAAAAAGAAUCUACAUUAGAUUUAAUUACUUGGGCUUAAUUGUUAUAUCCAUGAGAUGACAUAGAUUGAUUUCAAGUUGUCACUCUAAAAUUGGGGAUUAAUUAAUAAUUAGAUAAUUACUAGUUGAAUAGUGGUAAAUUCUGAAACCUUGGUAAUUUUUAUCUUAUUGAAUUCUCCUUUAUUUUAAUUGUUUCCUUAGUUUAAUUGGUUUAAUUUUCUUAGAAACUCAAUUUGGUCAACUAGGUUAGCAUUAAUAUUAAUUUUAGAUUUAAAUUAGACUUUUUAAUUUAUAACAAUUCUCGUAAGAUCGAUCUCGUUACCACUACUCUAUUUCUAAAUUCGUGCGUUUGUGAGUAUAUAAAAAUUUUUCACGACAUUUAGCUUUUGUGAUAUCCUUCUUUUGCUUCCAUUGUUGUUAUUGGUUGCCGUUUUUGUCGGACUUCACAAGAGAAAGUGACAAGUUUAAAAGAAAGAGUUGCAGUGUCGUCACGACACUCGUACCCAAAAUUUCGGAAAAUUUUGAAAUAAUAGAUUAAGUGAUAGAAAGUGAGUGCCCAUUAAUGACUGGCAACCCCUUGGAAAAAAAUUGCCUUAUGUUUUAGUCGCGCGUCUUCGUUUAAUUUAUUUUUAUAGAUGGAGAAUUUGUUCGCAGUCAAGAGAAUUAGUGAAGGUGUUUAGCUUUUGUGAUAUCCUUCUUUUGCUUCCGUUGUUAUCGGUUGCCGUUUUAAAAUAAUAGAUUAAAUGAUAGAAAGUGAGUGCCCAUUAAUGACUGGCAACCCCUUGGAAAAAAAUUGCCUUAUGUUUUAGUCGCGCGUCUUCGUUUAAUUUAUUUUUAUAGAUGGAGAAUUUGUUCGCAGUCAAGAGAAUUAGUGAAGGUGUUUAGCUUUUGUGAUAUCCUUCUUUUGCUUCCGUUGUUAUCGGUUGCCGUUUUAAAAUAAUAGAUUAAAUGAUAGAAAGUGAGUGCCCAUUAAUGACUGGCAACCCCUUGGAAAAAAUUAAUUUGACUUACGUUUUAGUCGCGCGUCUUUAUUAUUCUACUUUUUAUUGAUAUAAAAUUAUCCAACUUUUUUUUUUCUCCCAAUCAGGCAGUGACAAAGCUUCACUGUAAAUCGAGACUCUAGAUUUGGCGUCUUCCUCUUCAUUUCUAUUUCUUUUUUCAAGUUCAUUUCACAUAAAUUAACAAUUUCUGAUUCUCCCACACAAGACCGCCAACUGUACCUCAAGAUUGAAGGUUUGGUUACCCUGUCUUAUCCUUUUCAUCUUUUUUAAAGUUUAUAUUAUUUGUGCUUGUUUCUUUAAACCGUUAUUGAUCUAUGAUUGAAUUAGAUGGUAUAAGAUAUAAUUAUUUUUUAUUUUCAUACAUUUAAGAUUUGAAUAGUAUUUAUUUUAUUUAUGUUGCAAAAUCUUUUUUUGUUUAUGUAUUAAAAAUUUUAACAUAAACUUCAAAUCUUGUGCUAUGAUCGAAUUAGUCCCCUAACCAAAAUUCUGAACUUACAACAUAACUUUUUAGCAACUACCAAAUCAAAUCUUGUGCUAUGAAGGACGGCUCUUUUCAGAGCUCUGCAUUCCAAUUCUUUAUUCUCGACAGAGAGACAAGAAAAGCAGAGAGGGCUGUGAGCUUAUAAAGAGAGAAAAAUUAGUUCCUCUUUUAUAAAUUUUUUUUCCCCCAGUUUUAAGUGAGAGAGGGAAAUAUUAGUAUGGGGUCCUACGAAGCAAUGUACAUAUGGCAUUGUAUUAAUAUUCGUUAAGGUGAAGCGCGCGGCUGCGUUGUUACAAUAAUUGAGUUUUAUCAAGUUUUACUUUAUUUUAUUUUUUAUUAUUACUAGUCAUUAAAUUAAUCACUAUUCCAAUUAAACUAAUUCCAAGCCUACUCUUGUUAAUAUUACAGGAAGAAGUUUGUGGAAACCUAUCUUGAUAUGUAGUUCAUCUGAAACUCAGUUUAGAGAUUAAUUCCAAAAAAUUAUGGAGAAGCCCAUUUCUAACCUAAGAGAAGUUUUACUAGGUUGUAACCGAAGAGAAGUUUUACUAUGACAACCUAGUAAUUUGAACUAUCACUCUUAACAGUAAUGAAUAGAGGUGUCAACCAUUAGGAUAAGGAAUGGUCGAUAGUUCAAAGCCAUUUUUUCAAUUUAUUAUUUUUGUUAUAUGUUUCAAGCCAAAUCAUAGGGGUGAGUUUGAUAAUGGCUCUUUUUUUCUUGUUGGUCACAUUUCAUGUAAAUCAAUUUAUUCGAAACCGGUACUUGAACUUGGUCGCUAAGAAAAUCCAAAACGCUACUUAAUUACAUUAGAUGAUAAUUAUGUGAAAAAAAAUUCUAAUUGCUGCUGGAGAAAGGGAAAGAAGUCAUGUAGAGACAGAUAGAUAGCUCACCUGUAAAUAUGAGAAAAGAGUGAGUGUUUGAUAACUGUUUUUAAAAUUAUUGUUGUUAGCUGCGCUAUAGCAAUAAUUAGAAGUGAAAAGUACUCGUUAUGUGUUAAACAAAUUUUAUUUUAAAAGUAUCGUGAGUUUUAAAAGUAAUUGCAUAUAUUUAGUAAAUCUUACUAUUUUAUUAUUGUAAGAUUGCAAAUGGUUAAUGGGGACAUAAUGUUAAAUGAAAUCUACUUAAAGAUUCAAAUAAACAUGCAUAUAUAAGUCUCCAGGAGCCAGGCCAGUUGAUUUUUAAGUAACUUAAUUUAGCUAGUCACCUGAUUUAAAAAUUGAUUUUGGCUUUGGUACCCCUCUAUCUUUUUUUCCUUAAAUCUACUACCAAAUGGGAUAAUUUUUCAAAAAAUGAUCUAAAAGAAUACUAACUAUUGAAAUGAUUUUUAACUUCUCAAAAUCAUUUUUGAAUUUCUCAAUAGCAGUCACAAACAGGCCCUAAUGUUAAAAAUUAUUGAGUAACGAUCAUAUAAAUUAUUUCAUAAGCUUUAAGCUUAUUGAAUAAAUUUUAUUGUUAAAGUUCUAAGUUCAAAAAGUUUAAUUUGGCUGACCACCUUAGUUCGACUCGCGGGAAUUACAAGAUUAUAUGAAAUUAAAAAUUUACCAAAACCUUUUAGAAUAAUUAUGAUACCGCACAAAUCAAAUAUUGAGGUACAAUAUCUACUUUCAAAUAUUAGUAAGCAAUCUUCUUUAAAAUAAUUGUUGGGUCGCAAAUGAUUUAAUUUAUUAAUUUGUUUUUUUUUUGUUUCUCUUAACACCUCCUCUAUGCUAAUCCAGAGAUUGAACAAACAACAUUAUCACUAAAUGUUUAGGCAAUAACUUGGAAUAGCCGAAAGAUGUUUGGCCCAAGGAGUCACCAGACUAAACUCUUCUAACAUGUCCAAUCCAGUUGGCAACAUUCCCUCAUGAAGCUCCCAAUCAAAGCAAUGCACAAGAUGUGCAGUCCCUUGCUUAACGAUGGUGAGUCCCAGCUACGGCCAACAACAAAUGGCAAAAGUGGAAAGUCACAUCCACAAAGAUCAACAUUACUCCCAGCAAAUCUUUCCAAAAAAACAAUUUCUCAGGAUCACUCUAAGCUUCAGGAUAUCUUUCAAUUGCCCAAUCAUUUAUAAUUACUUGCGAUUUAUUGGGUAUUUGGAAUCCGUUAAUUGUGUAGUCUCAAUAGAUUCGUGUGGAAUUAGCAAUGGUGCUACUUGAUAAAAACUGCAUGGUUUCCUUGACAACCACGUCCAAUUAUUUGAAGUUUUAUCUAAAUCUAAUUGUUCAACCAUUCUUUUUAAGCACAUAAUAUUUUCUACCUCUCUUUGCAAACUGUGGGAUGCUCUAUAAGUGCUGAAAGUGCCUACUUGAUUACCAUUGGUAAAGUGUUUAUUGCCUUCGAAAGCAUGUGCAAAAAUUAAGGAAACCAUAAAUAACAGAAGCAGAUGUUUAGAAAUCAUCAGUUCUCUUGAAAUUUUAAAUUAUAACGUAGAUUAUGCCUUAAAGAGUUACUUAAAUGUGCCAAAACCUUUAUACCUAGUGGGGGCAAAAUUAAUUUACUUAAAGAAUGUGAUUUGAUGUGUACUUACCAAGAUUGUGCCUUUAGUUUGCUCUCGUUCAAUCAUGCGCUCGGUUUCUUCUGAUCCCUUAAAGCACAACGUAACGUCAACAAAAUAUUUGGUUCUAUUUUCAUCCUUGGAUUGAAUAUAUUCAUUAAUAAUCUUCUCUAAAAAUGCAUCAAACACCUUGGCAACAACCUUUUUAUGCUUUUUCAUGCCUUGAAGAUGAAGUCUUGGAAUUUGAAAAGUGUAAUCACCUAAGUUAGGCUUUAUAGCCAAUUCCAUUCUCUCUUGAAUCAUAGUCUUAAACCCUUUCUCAUCGAAUUCAUCACUCUAAUAUCUCUUCCUGAGGACCAUUUUACUAGCCAUGUCAGCAUUCAUAGCAGAAUCCUUACCACUUAUGUCAACGACACAUUGGACGCACGUUGCCUCUUUGGUGUACUCAGUUAAAAGAUCAAGCGCUUCUUUUGUCAUAAGAUGGAAAUAAUUUAUCUUGACUAUACCUAAUGUUAGGAAAUUAAUGGAUGACGUAGACACAACUAAAGUGAAAUUGAGAAAUAAUAAUCAUCUAUUGACAUUGGAAUUUACGUGGUUUGUCUUUUAGCCUACGUCUAUGGGCAAGAUAUAAAGGUAAAAGUUUACUAGUUAAAUGGAGAUUACAAAUGUUAAAGUAUUUUAGCUUACCGCCAAAACCCCAAUACACCUAAUCUCUCAUUCAUUAAACCAAGAGCUUAAAGCUCUUACGAUACUCUCAAUCUCCAACUAUUGGCUCUAUCACUUAUCAAAUAGAUUGGGAAUUCAAGAAAAUGGGAUCGGAUACUCUUCCUUUGCACUCCAAUCUAUAGACCAAGCAAUGCCCACUUUCCUAGUUUUCAUUGGCGGAUAAUCAUAACUGAGAAAGAAUGUCCCUCUUAUCUAGGGAUGCAAAUCAACAAUGAUGGGCUUUAAAAGAGAAUAUAAUUUUUCACUAACAUUCUCGUUUGGUGCCAAAGUCAAAUGUUGCAUGCUAGCCACACGUCUCCAAUUUACUCAACACUUAAUAAUUCUAGAGUGCAUAUUUUUUAGAUUGUUCUCCAAUAAGACCCAUAUGGGGAAAUUGUAAAAUUCUUUAGGUAAUAAGAAACAUGCUUAGAAGCUUAAAGAGGAGGCCUGAUGGCAAUAAUAAGGUCACGUGUUUUGAGAAAUUACUUGGUUGCUUAUGGUGAAAAAACAACAAUUGUAGUCACUAAGACCAAGCGUAAGUGCAUGAUGUGGCCAUAUACUUUGGCUAGUUUAUGCAAAGCUCUAGGUGGAAAUUGGCCUAACAAAUGAAGGCAUCCGAAAAUUGGAAAACUUUUGGCCCUGGAGGUAAUAUCCUUCUAUUCUUUGUGUUUGUUUUCUAAGAAAAUGCUUGGAGGAAAAAGAAAAUUGCAGCUAGAACAAGUAAAGUCCAUAACCACAACUUAAUGAUCUUGUGAAGUCAAGAAUGUUGUGGACCGAAUUUGGUGCAUAACAAUGUUGACAAAUUAGCCAAAUGUUGCCCAAUUUUUCAAAUUGACAAGGGUGAGCUUAAUGCAAUAGUGCCAUUGUUUUUCCUAUAAAUAGAAGACACUUCUUUCAUUUUAAGUAUCUUAAAUUUGAGAGAAAUAUUUCAAAUGAAGAAUUUUCUAUAGUGAGCAAUUGAGAGAAUUUUCUUUCAAGUAUGUGUGAGAUUAUUGGGUGUAUUUGGGUUCUAAAAAGUGAAGUUUCUUUACUCAAAUAUUAUACUUUAAUAAUUGUUAGUAAUACAAUUAUUUUCUCUCGCUUUCGUGGACGUAGGCAUAAUUAUCGAACCACGUUAAAUUCUCGUGUCCUUUAUUUUUGUGAUUAUUUAGUGCGUUUGAUUCCACAUUACACAUAGAAUAAGUGGCACCAGAGCCUACAUGUGGUGUCAGAGACAGGUUUGCACUUGGGGUGUACAAUACUGUUCACAGAUACGGUACUGUUCACGAAUUUAGGGAGUUUGUACUUACGAGGAUUAGUAGCUUAUAUAGUGGUGUAGAUUUGUGCAUGUUUAGGAAAGUUAUGUCACAAUGGCAAUAAGAGUUUAAAGAGUCUAGGUUUUAAGAGGGACUACUAUGACUCCUACAAUCUUUCCUAGGAACUUUCCUUGCACGUUUUUCCAUAUGUAUUGAUCUCCCAAGUGAGAAUAGUUUAUUAAGAAAAUGGUAAAAAAUGAAACUUCCAAAAGUGGAGAGAGAUCUACUCAGAUUAUUCUAAGAGGCACUUCAGAUGGGAGGUGAAACUUGUCAUAUCACUAUUCAACACCUGUUAUAGGAGGCCAGAAGAUUGAUGUUGAAAAGUUUGAUGGAAAAAUUAACUUCGGCAUGUAGAGGCGUGAGGUUAUGGAUGCCUUUAUUCAAAUCGAUUUUGAUGUUGUUUUAAAAAAUAAAAGACACUUGUAAAAUAAAGAAAUUUAGGAUCGUAUGAACAAGAAAGCCUGUGGUUAGAUCAGAUCUUACUUGACCAAGGAGGUAAAAUAUCUGAUGAAAAAUUAGGAGUGUGCAAUGAUUUUACGGUGUACAUUAGAGGAAAAAUACCUACUAAAAAGUCUUAAAAAUCGUCUUCAUGUAAUCAGCUAGGUAUAUGGUUUUUGAAUGAAGCCCAGGGUUUCAAAUGCACCACAAUAUCUCAAGCUUUGAAAAGUUACUUCUAUAUUCGAAGAAUCUUGAUAAAGAUAUGAAGGAUGAAGUCAAUGCUAUAAUUCUACUGCACUCACUUCUAGAAGAAUAUAACUAUUUUGUGACUACUUUUUUAUAUGGGAAAAAUAUAAUCAUUUUCAAGGAUGUUUGCACAGUACUUAUCAAUUUGAAAAUUUAGAAUAAUGGUAAACAUUCCGAAAGACCAUCAUUUAAGGCUUUGUUAAUAAGACAUUGGAUGAUGGAGAAAAGGAAAAAGGCAGUGGAAAGAAUUCUUAGUCUAAAAAGCAAAAAUAUAGCUUAAGUGUGCCUUUUGUCAUGAAAGGGGCCAUUGGAGGCAAGAUUGUCUGAAAGCUUAGAAGAGAGAUGAGAAGAAACCAGUAGCAGUGAAUAUGGCAUGUAAAGAUGAAGAUUUUAACUAUUCACUAAGUAUUUUGCCUGCAACAUCUGUGAACUUGAGUUUUUUCUAAAAAAGAUUGAAUUUGGAAAGGCCGUGUUUCAUAUUCCGGUUUGUUUAACGCUUAGUAUAGAAAAUUGAGUGAUUCCUCGACAUAGGGUUUUUCAAAUUGUUAUGUCAAGGGAGAUGUUGAAGAAAGGAUGAAGUUUUCCAUUGUUUCUGAUUUUGAGUGAGGAGAAUUUCUUGAAGAAGUUUGUGCUUAGUUUUGAAGAUGAUGCAGAGGAGUUGUUCCAUGCUUACAAGGGCCACAAGUUGGGUUCUUUUUCUAGAGACCAACUAUUGCAAUGAGGACGGUUGUUUUGCCUAACAUAAACCUCUAAGUCUGAUGUAUUUUUUGGCACAGUAACAGAAGGUUUUGAGAGUGGGUGAUAGUAUGCAAUGUAACACCCAUUGGUUUGUUUCACCAUUCAUGAAGUGAUUUUUGGGCAUUUCAAAUGUUCUUGCUGCUAUGUGUUUGAGCAGCAUAGUUUUCAUUGUAGCUUUGAUUUAGAUAUAUUUGUGGUUAUUACGCUGAUUUCAAUGUAUUCCAAGUGUGGAGAUAUUGAUUCUGCCAUAUUUUUGUUUGAUGGCAUGUAUGAGUCUUUAGGGAUGAAAAAAUUACCCACCAAUUCAUAAACCAACCCAAACCCAUUCGCAAAAAUCUGCCCGCUGCGGGUAAUUUUGCAGGUUGCGAGCGGCUUUUGUAUUGCAAACUUAAAUCGAUCCAUUGUGAAUUGCUGGUGGGUUUGGUGUUGGAAGCAAUUCCGCUGGAUACCAACGCGAGGAUCCACCAACCUCCAUUCUUUAUUUUAAUUAUUUAUAUUUUUAUUUUAAUCACAAAAAUUACAUUAAAAAAUUUAAUCAUAAAUAUAUUAAAUUAAAGUUUCUAAUUUCUAGACGUAACUUAUCUCACUGCAACAUAUAUACAAUAAACUUUUAAUAAGUCGAAAUUUUAUAAUUUUUAUUACUAAUAUUUUAUUUUACUUUAAUUCAUUUUGUUUGUUUUGCCUUAACAAUAAUUGUAUAAGCCUUAACAAUAAUUGUAUAAAAUCUACUUGUUAAUAUUAUUGAUAAUACUUAUUUAUUGAUUAAAAAAUGAAGCAAAGUAUUGAUAUUAGUGAUGAUGAUUUGCCUACAAUAGAAAUAUUUUUGUGUUGGAUUAAUAUUUUUUAUGUAUUUUUUAAUGUUGAAAUUUUAAUUUCUUAUUUACAUUGAUAAAAUCUAGAAUUGAAUAUUGUUUGCCAAUAUUUUAAGCUAUUAUUAUAUAUUUAUAGUUUGAAUUAUAUAAUUUAAGUUUUUAUGUACUAUUAAAAAUAUUUUUUAUAUUAUUGAUUUUAAAUGAGGUGGGUUUGGUAAUUGUUAAAACCCACAGCAGACAGGUUUUUUAAAAAAAUAAAAACCCAUUAUAGGUUGCGGCGAGUUUGGUAAUUUAAUUUUUUUGUGGGAGUAAGUUUAACAAUGGUAACACCUCAGCGGGCGGUGCCCGCCAUUUCUGUGUAUGAUAGAACUCAUGUUUCUUAGACUGCAAUGAUUAAUGGGUAUGCUAUGUGUUUGAGCAGCCAAGUUUUUCAGAGCUAGUUUAUGGUCAUAUCUGGCUACGUAUUGGAAGAGAUGAAAGCAUCAAUCAAAUAGUGAACUGCCCUGUAAGGAGAUUAUUUUUUUCUUAUUCCCAGAACCGGUUAUUGUUUAACAAAAAAGGAUAAAAAUUGAAAAAACUUGUUGAUCAAAAUUGUAUUUUUCAGUGUUUGGGCUUGAGAAAGUGUUUAAUGAAAAAUGAAGAUUCCCAAUAAUAUAGGCCAAUUUUGCAUUUGAAAAGGUGUAGAAAUUUGUAGAAUAAUUUGACACAUAAAUGACUAAAUGGUUGUUUAAAAAUUUUCUAUGUUCGACACUUUUUUUCUUUGUUUUGAUAAGAGAUAUCAGGUUGGAUCAUAACUUUAAUUUAAUAUGCAUUGUUAAUCCCACACAAAAGUACGCCACACAUCAACUAAUCUAUCAUCACCAUUAGAUUCAAUAUAAUCAAUGGCUAAUAUUAAAGUCAGGAAAACCUUACCCCAUAUAUCUAUAAAUUCCGACAAUUCGAUCGUUCCUGAAGCAUUGAAGCAGUGAGCACAAAAUAAUUAUAACAAGCAAUGCCAAUGAACGGCGUUAUAAGAGAUAAAUUUACACACAAAAAGAAAACGGAAUCGAACUCUUUCAGAGUUUGGUGUGAACUGAUCAUCAUAUCAUGCGUUAGUUGGAUUUGGGACGCGGCGGAGAAGGAGCGUCAACUAUCAACAAGUAUGGUCCUUAAUUUGUCAUCCGCAAUAACGUGCGGGAUCCAACUACAGCACAGGGGCUCUUCUUAUUUCUGAUGAUUAGACUUUAGAGUGAUAGUGAAUUGAUGAGUCUGGGUGGACUUUUUCGAUUCUAAGCGUAAGUUCAUAUCAGGAAGAAUACAAAGAGUUAUGUGUAGGUUGGGUCUGGGUUUUCACAUAUUUUUUAAUUAUUUUUUUGAAAUUAUUAUAAACUUUUAACGAGUUAAUCAUCGAUAACGAAUUAGAAAAAAAUGAUUAUUUUAAAAUAAAAUAAAAAAUAACGUAAAUAAAAGUUUAUAAAUUUAAUUUAUUAUUAAUACUAUAGUUCAAGCAGAUGUUCUUAAUUAAUUAUAGCUUAAGAGAGAGUUUAGUUGUUAUAAUUUUAAGUUUUUUAAUUUUUUACUAUUUUUUAAAUUUAAAUUCAUAAAUUUAUAAUUUUAAAAAAUAGAGGUCUUGAUUUUUUUUCUUUUUCUUUUUAAACCCUUACCCAAGUCGUUAUGUGAAAGGCCGGUUAGCCCGGAUGUUUUUGUUAAGAGUCAGACUAUUAGCACACCUCCAAAAUCCUAUUGAAAUUGUUUUUUCAAUUUUAUUCCAUGUAAUACCAAAACUAUCCUUUUUUUAAUUUAACACUCUUUUCAUUUAUGGAUUUUUCAGUUUCCUCUCUUCAAACUUUCUUUAUUAUUUAAUUUCUAAAGCAAAAAAUCUAAAAGAAAAACUAAACGAAAGAGUAAGAAAAAAAUUAUAAAAUCUAAAAGAAAAACUAAAAGAAAAAGUAAGAAAAACUCAUACUUACAAAAUAAUGAAUAUUUUAUGAGUUUAAUACAAUUAUCUUACCUAUAAAUUUUGAGUUCAUUGGGUUCAAAAAUUAGUUUGAGAAUUUUUAAGAAAUUAGUUAAAUUGGGGUAAAAUUUUAUUUAAUUUAUUUUUUCACUAUGUUGUAUCUUAUUAAGUUCUUUUUUUUUUCUUUUUGGUUACAAGAAUUAUAUUUUGGCUUAGAAGAUUACUUCUUAAAUUAUUUUAAUGAUAAUAAAAAUUUUAUUUUCAAAAAUUACUUCAAAAAAAGGUUAAAAUAACUUGGGCCUUUUUCAGCCCAAAAUAAUUGGGCUAUUGGAUGGAAUGAAAUGGUUGGUAGAUAAAGAAUUUUGGGUUGGGCCAGCAGUACCCUUAUUUAUGAACUAUGAGAUUAAUGAAGGGGUGCCAAUAGUCCAAUUCUUUUGUUAAUCCCACUUCUGAAAAAGGUUAAAAUACAUUGAGCCUUUUGCAGCCCAAAACAAUUAGGCUAGGUAAAGAAUUUGUGUUGGGCCAACAGUACCCAUAUUUCUGAAUAUUUUAUGAGUUUAAUAUAAUUAUCUUACUUAUAAAUUUUGGGUUAAUUGGAUUCAAAAACUAGUUUGAGAAUCUUUAAGAAAUUAGUUAAAUUGGGGUAAAAUUUUAUUUAAUUUAUUUUUUCACUAUGUUGUAUCUUAAUUAAGUUGUUUUUUUUUUCUUUUUGGUUACAAGAACUAUAUUUUGGCUUAGAGGAUUACUUCUUAAAUUAUUUUAAUGAUAAUAAAAAAUUUAUAUUGUGCUAGCAAAAGAAAAUUGAGGAGAAAAAGAAAAUAUAAAUGAUUUUAAUUAUAUUUAUAUUUAUCCUUAAAUGUAAUUGUAAUAUAACAAAAAUUUUAUGAGAUUAAUGAAGGAUGUCAAUAGUCCAACUCUUCUGUUAAUCCUACUUCCGAAAAAUGUUAAAAUAAAUUGGACCUUUUUCAGCCCAAAAAAAUUGGGCUAUGGAUGGAAUGAAAUGGUUAGUAGGUAAAGAAUUUUGGGUUGGCCAGCAGCACAAAAUGCUUCAAUGAUUCUCUAUCAAUAAAAAGUACAAUAAAAUCAAAACUUUUAGAAGCGGUUAGUAACGGACUUAAUUUUACCGCCAACACAAUGAGUGAUGGCCGUAUCUUCACUUCCACCACGUCUCAACAGAAUUUAUAGAAGUUCAACGAUUAAUCAGUGGAACUCACAAAUAAGAGAAGCAGUGAACAAAAACGAAGCCCACAAAACUCUUCUUCUCUUUCGCCAAAUGAAACAAAACGACAUCGAACCAAACAACUUAACAUUUCCCUUCAUAGCCAAAGCUUGUGCUAAGCUCUCUGACCUUAUAUACUCCCAAAUGAUUCAUGGCCACAUCGUGAAAUCACCCUUUGGUCCGAUAUCUUUGAGCAAACAACAAUGGUGGAUAUGUAAGUGAAAUGUGAUCGGUUAGAUUGCGCGUAUAAAAUAUUUGACGAAAUGGCUGUCAGAGACGUCGCGUCGUGGAAUGCGAUGCUUGUGGGGUUUGCUCAGAUGGGGUUUCUUGAAAACGUUUUGCGUCUUUUUUAUAAUAUGAGGCUUGUUGGAAUCCAAGCUGAUUUUGUCACGGUUAUGGGGUUGACGCAGGCGGCCAUACAUGCAAAGCAUUUGAGCCUUCUGAAAAGCGUUCAUUCGUUUGGCAUUCAUAUUGGGGUUGAUGCUGAUGUGUCAGUUUGUAAUACAUGGAUUUCUUCCUAUGCUAAAUGUGAUGAUUUGAAGAUGGCGGAGUUGGUGUUUUGUGGGAUAGAAGAACGUUUAAGGACUGUAGUUUCAUGGAAUUCUAUGGUCGCCGGAUGCACGUAUGGUGAUAAGUUUGAUGAUUCUCUUAAUUUUUAUAGGCACAUGAUGUAUAAUGGAUUUAGGCUUGAUGUAACUACAGUUGUUAGCCUUCUUUCAUCAUUUGUGUGCCCAGAGGCAUUAGUGCAAGGUAGGUUGGUUCACUCUCAUGGAAUUCAUUAUGGCUUUGAUUUAGAUGUAUCGGUGAUUAAUACACUGAUUUCAAUGUAUUCCAAGUGUGGAGAUAUUGAUUCCGCUAGAGUUUUGUUUGAUGGCAUAUGUGACAGGACUCGUGUUUCUUGGACUGCAAUGAUUAGUGGGUAUGCUCAGAAACGAUACCUGGAUGAAGCGUUGAGAUUGUUUUUCGCUAUGGAAGCUGCAGGUGAAUUACCUGAUUUGGUCACUGUGCUGUCAAUGAUUUCAGGCUGUGGGCAAAGCGGUGCACUUGAGCUUGGAAAGUGGUUUGACAAUUAUGCCUGUUCUGGUGGAUUAAAAGACAAUGUAUUGGUCUGUAAUGCAUUGAUAGACAUGUACUCUAAAUGUGGAAGUAUUGGCGAUGCUCGAGAGCUCUUCUACGCUUUACCUGAGAAAACUGUUGUCUCUUGGACAACAAUGAUUGCCGGUUGUGCUUUAAAUGGAGAAUUCGUAGAAGCUUUAGACCUUUUCCAUCAGAUGAUGGAAUUGGAUUUGAGACCAAAUCGCGUAACAUUUUUGGCUGUGCUUCAAGCUUGCACUCACACAGGCUUCCUUGAGAAAGGAUGGGCUAUUUCAAUAAUUCAAUAUGAUGACAAAGGUAUAUCAUAUAAUCCGGAAUUAGACCAUUACUCUUGCAUGGCAGACCUUCUUGGAAGAAAAGGGAAGCUGAAGGAAGCAUUAGAUUUUGUUCAAAGCAUGCCUAUCAAAUCUGAUGCUGGAAUAUGGGGUACAUUGCUUUGUGCUUGCAAGAUUCACCGAAACAUAGAGAUUGGUGAAUACGUGGCUUAUCGCCUGUUCAAAUUGGAGCCCCACCCUGCAGCUCCAUAUGUGGAAAUGGCCAAUAAAUAUGCUUUGGGAGGAAGAUGGGAUGGAGUAGCAAAUAUAAGAACGAUGAUGAAACGCAACCAGGUGAAGAAGUUUCCAGGGCAAAGCCUUGUUCAUAUUAAUGGGAAGACUUGUACGUUUACAGCUGAGGAUAGAUAUCAUGCUGAAUCUGAACUAACAUACCCAGUAUUAGAUUGUUUAGCAUUGCACUCUAGGGGGGAAGCAUAUUCAUCGCAUUUAAAGUGGAUUCCAGAACAUGAAGCAGGAUGACUCCUUUAUCAUUUUGACCCGUACAAAUUAGGCAUUGGAAAUUUAGAAUCUGGAUUUUGGAGAGAGAUUCAUGUAGAAAAUUGCUUAUGAACCAUUUUUCAUUUCACAUUCUGAUGUUAAAGGAAUUUUAGGAUGAAAUUUUAUAGCACGUACAAUUACAGAAGAAAUAUAAUUGAAUUAUUUCAGAUGUUUUAUAGUAUUAUCACACUUCUGGUUUCUUUCGGGAGAUUGAAGUGUAGAAAGUCAUAUAUAUAGGGGCAUUUCUAUAGCUUCAUCCAUUAAAAAUAUGAUAGUAUUGCAGCUAUUUAUUUAUUUAUUUAUUUUUUUAAGUUACAUUCUUUUGUAGGAUAAAUAAAAGUAUACGAAGGGAAGUUCAGAUACAGAUCAUCUUCAUUAAACUUACAUAAGGAAGAAAAAUAAAACCGCUAUCAAAAUUCAGAAACGAAUCAAUAGACAAUAAUCACAUUCAAUUUUCUUCUCAUUCUUUCAAUUAUUAGUAGCAUGACAAAUCUUCUUCCCACCUAUGUAAGGAAGUUUAUUUUUAACAUGUUUUUAAUCCUAAGGAUUAAGAGGAAAAUGGUUAGCUGUCUUGGUAUAUUUUGGAGGAUGAGCACUGUUGAGUGCAUGAAGAACACCAGGUCGGCCAUGCAACUAGUUCCAUCCCAGAACGGAUUGCUUCAUCUCUUAUAUACGAGCAGAGCAUAUGGGCAAGCAUGAGCCGAUCAGAGGAGAGAACAACCAGGGAAACAUACCGACCAGAAAUAUAUGCCGAGCCAAUACUCAUCCCCAGGAAAGCGGGAACACGAUCCCACAAAACCGCGGUAGUUGCGUUUCUCCCAGAACGGUUGAAGGACACGCGAGAUCCACGUUUGCCCACAAUCUAACAGUUAGAGUCCCAUGAGGGGCUACCACCACCCGAAAAAGGAGGAAUCAGGGGCAAACGGAAAACGUGGGACAAAGGGCGGCUAUAAAAGAGAAAGACAUCGAAGAAGAUAGGGAGAUAAAAAAAAGAGAGAGAGGGGAAACGCUGCCAAAUUGCAACCAGGCCAUUUCCUUACAAAUUUCCUGAAAUCAUAUUACACUGUUUUCCCGUAAACACCUUGUGCUAACUUAGGCAUCGGAGGGUUUACGCCGGCAAAACCACCGGCGUCUCUGAUCCGUUUUUGGUGAACGCAGGUCUAGCGAGGGAAAAGAAGGUGAUUCCAGCCUGAGUGGUUCGAGCAACAGUCAAUAACGUAAACGUUGGUGAAAGAAUCUGGUCGGUCUAAGGACGAGCAGAUUUCAGCAUCAACAUUUUGGCGCCGUCUGUGGGGAGCUGGAUAAAAAGCUACCACCGAAUUAGGAAGUACCGGAGAAACAGCGAACGGUUAAACAUGGAUGUGACGAGGAAGGACGCUCUGAGGGAGGAUAACGAAGCUGGGGAGACAAUCACUCUUCGGGAAAUUGCAAAUGAAGCCCGAGAGAGGAUGACGCAAGAUAGACUGGAGCGGAUGGAGAAACAAAUGGAGACUCUUGCGGCCGUAUUGUUUGAGCUGAGGGACGAGCGGAGAAGAGAUUGCGAAACCCCCGUGGGAAGAGAUGGAGUUGGAGCAGAACCCAGCCUCCGGGGGCGUAGAGUCGGGGAAAUCCCCCCGUACGGAGACCAACCUAACGGGGUGCAUCCCCACCGAAGUACUGGUCGGGUCCCAGGGGAACACGUUGAUGAAGGGAGAGACCAACCUCGCCCCGGACGGACACUGGAAAUAAAUGGCCGAGGGGCCAGUGUUGAUGAAGGAGAGCUCAGACAGCGAUUGCAGAACGCCGAGCAGGAGCGAGACCAGAUAGCUGCACGUGAUCCUGAUCGUGCUGUAGAAUUGGAGGGGGAGGUGCGCAGAUUGGCGCAGGUGAUAGAGGAGAUGCAGGGCAAGAGAAAGCCCCCGAGCUGGAGGAUAAUGCUAGAUGAAGAAUCUCCGUUGUCAACGGAGAUCAUGAGUACCAUAAUCCCAAAGGAUUUCCGCUUCCCCGACCUCAAAUACUCCGGGCGAAGUGACCCGUUGGUACACAUUGAGCGUUUCAACGACAUGACGGGUGUGCAGGGGCUGACACCAGCUCAGAGAUGUAGGGUGCUCCCGUUGACCCUAGAGGGACGAGCCCGAGAAUGGUACCGCAAGCUGCCCCGAGGAGGAAUAAAGGGGUAUGAGCAGAUAUGCCAGGAGUUGGCCGAGCAGUUUCGGGGGGCAGUGGCCCCAGAGGAUGACAUGAUGGAAUUGAUGGGGAUGAGACAGGAGGAGCACGAGUCCCUACGAGAUUUUAUAAAGCGAUACCACCGAGCCGUACUUGAUUUGGGAGCUUUCAAUCACCCGCAGGCGUUGAAGGGUUUAAAGGAGGGUGUGAGGAUAGGCCGGCUAUGGUAUAACCUGAGAAGCCCCCUGGUGCAGAAUUAUUCAGCAGGAUAUGAGCAGGCAAAGAGAGAUAUCGAAAUAGAGGAAGAAAAAUCGGCAAAGAUAAAGAGUGAACAGCUGGAGGAGCUAAGACGAAAGGAAAGGAGAACUCCCAAUGGGAGCAGGUCGGGAAAGCGAGCUGGGGAACCCUCAGAAAGGGGCGGAACAUCAGCUAGAUCCCGCCCUUACCCCAUAGCUACAAGAUCACAACAGUUCCAGCACAAUCGGGCUCAGCCUCCACGUCUCCCAUUCCCAGAUCGGCAGCGAGAAUUCCGGCAGAUAGCUGCCGACCCCUAUCAUAACACUCCCAGAGCAUCACAUGCAACCAAUCCCAGGGCCAGACGACCAGAUCAGUUAGCAACUAUGCCAGCCCGAGAUGACGUUCAUGAUAGCCGAGCCGUUCAGCUGGUAGACCAGAGCUUGACAUAUAGACAACACACUCCACUAAAGAUCUCCAUGGAGGAAUUGUAUGAGAGGAUUGAGGGACGAGGCCUGCUAUACCCCCCGGCCCCAAUAACAAAACCAACUCACCGACGGGAUAAGAGCAGAUUCUGCAAGUUCCACGACACUCACGGUCACACUAUCAACCAAUGCCGUGACCUGAAGACUCAGGUGGAGGAUUUAGUGAGGAACCGAUACUUGGACGAGUAUGUAGAUGGAAUAUCCCCUGCCACGGAAUCACAGUACACACGGGAUGAAGGAGUUGAGAGGAGUUUAGAACGUGAGCAGUCGACCGUCCGUGUGAUAGCAGGAGGGCCAACAUUGGCCGGAGAUUCGAACAGGGCGCGGAAGAACUAUGGGAGAUACGCCCUGACUAGCAAAGAAGUGCUUUUCAAUUUGCCAGCAGCCAAGAGGGCAAAAGUACGGCAAGUUCCUAUUAUGUGGACAGAGAAUGACGAAGAGGGCAUUUUGUACCCUCACGAGGAUGCACUGGUAAUUAAAGCGUUGGUGGCCAGUACAGAAUUACGGCGAAUACUGGUAGAUACGGGCAGCUCAGUAGACAUUCUGUUUAAGUCGGCCUUAGAUGAUAUGGGGAUUUCAGACUUAAAGCUGGAGCGAACGAAUACAUCCUUGAAGGGAUUUGGAGGGGGACGGUUAACUCCCAUGGGGGUCAUUGAACUCCCGAUUACUGUGGGGACAAAGCCAUUUGAAAGAACGAUGAUGCUGGACUUUGUAGUGGUAGAGGAAAGAAGUCCUUAUCAGAUGAUAUUGGGGAGACCAUUCAUGAGGAUAAGCCAAUGCGUAAUAUCCACGCAUUAUCUGGCGCUGAAGUACCGAAUAAAUGGAGUUGUGGGUGUAGUGAAGGGCGACCAGAGAAUGGCCAGGAGCUGUUAUGCUACAGCGGCCAAGGAAACGCUGCAGGUGACCUCUCUGGAUAAUCGAGGGGAUUCAAAAAAUGGCCGCCAGGAACCUGUUGAGAAGCUGAAGGAAGUUGUUGUAAGCUGCUGUACCGUACAUCCGCCUUGGCCGUACAGCAGUCAUCCUCUCAGUAAAUUCUUUCAAAAAAAAAAUCCCCCUUUUUACGGUGGUUGUGUGGGUUUAGGUGGAAUUUAAUAUUCGUUGAGUUGAGUGCAUCAUUCUCAUUAUUGAUUGCGGAGAUAGUGGUGUUAAAUCAAUUUCUUUACAAAAAAUGGAGCUUUAGAAUCUUCCCAAGUUUCCAUUAGCUCCACUUUCUUUUGUCGGCGACCGUCUCUUCAUUAAGAAAUUAAUCACCAACGCCGGGGAAUUUCCCGUUUUAUAAAAUUUAUUUCUUCUAACCUCAACACCCAUUUUAACUUUUUUUUAAAAAAAAAAACCGAAUGACUUAUUUUUCUGACAGAGACCCUUAACUCGUCGUGGCUCAUAUAUUUUGUUCUAUGAAGACAUGAGAGGAUUGAAAAAGAAUCUUUGACGGUAGUUCUGUGGGAGAUUGGCAAGGAUUGUGUCCGCUAGUAUGCUAUUAAUCUUUAAUAAAAUGAUUUUUUAAUUAAAGGAUUGUUAUGAUUUAACGAUCAUUAUCGGUACUACACGGUGGCGCAUCUCCACUGUAGCCACCGCCUUGUUUUAUCAUGUGAUUUAAAGAAUCACUCCAUGUUGAGACUGAGAACUUGGCCGUUUACUUUUUUCUUUUUAUUUUAAUUUCCUGAAUGUAUAAUAAAGUCUUUGUGCAUUCAAGUAAACGGCCAAGUUUACUUGAUGUUUCUAGAAGUUAAAACGAGGAGGGAUUAUCGUAAUUGUCAAAACGUUUGGGCUAAAAGACAAAAUUAACCCUACAGGGAAAGAAAGAAUAUUUAUAGACUAUGGAUUCGGAUGUCUAUUUAUCCUCCCAUUUUUUAUUUCUUACUAUGUCAUACUUGUAUAACACUGCAAAGCACCACUUGCUCUACAGUGACCAACUCAAACGAUCCAAGUUUAAAAAUAUAAAAAUACCCUCAAAAGUUGUUUUAUAAAAAUAAUUUAUAAUUCUAGAAAUUUAUAAUUCACAUUGCCUGAUUAGCCUGAAUUUUUUCGCAAUAAAUCGGUCGAUCAAAUUAUUAUUUGUAAGAGAUGACAUAUUAAAUUUUCUUGAAGAAAUGUUAGCCGUAGCCACUUGUAUGUACAGGCGACUGAUGCUAGCUAGUUUUCUUUACACAGUUAAUAUAAGUUCGAAAUAAACAAAGAAAUGGACAAACCUUGGCACUGCCGACUUCAUGUCGCCGUUGCCGUCGAUUGACACAACCAGCACGUGCCAGAAUGCAAAUCAAAUUCUCUUUAAAGCAAAUGAUAUAGUACUCUCGGAAUUCUUGUCUCUCUGUUAGUUUACUUUGAAUUGGACGACGAAUUUCAAAUCAUCACCACGUGAUUAGUUUGACCAUGAUAAUUAAUGAGUCAAAAAAUCACUGCCGUAUAUUAGCUAGAGCUUGUAUUAAUUUAUGGAGAGUUGGUGAAUGGUGUGGCAUGACGGGCGAUGACCGCCCGCAAUUGUCAAAAUAAUAAUAAUAAAAGUCUUUUACUCUUUUUUUUAAUUAUUUUUAUUACUCGAAUGAUUAUUUUUAAAAGUGACCUUCUAGAUGAAUUUAAUCUAAAUACUGAAGUCUUUUGUUAACAUACGCCUCUGUCUAAUGCAAAAGAAAGUUUGAUGAUGUUAUAUAUUUUUUAAAAUAAUUGUUGCCAAUUGUUUGUAAAAAAAAACAAAUAAUAAUGUAGUCUAAUAAUGGAAUGGAGUUGCUUUAGAGAGAGAGAGAGAGAGGCAUUUUAGAUUGGAAAAAGUAAAGUCAAAACCAAAAGAUGUGUCUUUAAACUUUACUACUUACACCUCACUAUCUCAUUUUUUAUUAUAUUUUUUAAAAUGUAGCUAGGGCUUACGUGAUAACUCAAGUUAAAAAUUAGAUAACUAUUAAAGAGUUGGGCUAUUUAAACUUAUUAAACUAUUCAUUAUAUGCACUUACUUAAUAAACACAUUUCUAAAAUUUAAAAUAUACAAUUUUAUUUUAUAAACCCAUUUUAUUAAGCUAAAUUAUUAUAAUUUCUCUUAUUCAUUUUAUUUUCACACCGUUUGUCCAUUCCUUCAUUCUUUUCUUCUUCAUUUAUGGACUUCUACCCAUCACUAGUUUAUCCUAAAUUCUUAAACUUCUCUUUUUUUUUUUAGUUGGUGUUUUCCCUUGAUAUCUCAUGUGUCUAGAGCAAUACCUUUAGGGUGCGUUUGGCACACUAUAUUAUAUUAUGUUGUAUUACGUUAUUUUAAUGCUGGUAUAUUGUAUUAUGAUGUAUUACAUUAGCACUGUAUUAUAAUAAUGUUGUACAAUGUUUCGUGCUACAUUGUAUUGUAUUAUUUUUUAAUUAAUUUAAAUGAAAUAUUAUAUUAUAUUAAUGUUUUAUAUUAUAUUAAUAUAUUUAAAUUGCAUUAAUAUUUUAUGUUAUUAUUUAUAUUAUUAUUAAUUUUAAAUUANNNNNNNNNNNNNNNNNNNNNNNNNNNNNNNNNNNNNNNNNNNNNNNNNNNNNNNNNNNNNNNNNNNNNNNNNNNNNNNNNNNNNNNNNNNNNNNNNNNNNNNNNNNNNNNNNNNNNNNNNNNNNNNNNNNNNNNNNNNNNNNNNNNNNNNNNNNNNNNNNNNNNNNNNNNNNNNNNNNNNNNNNNNNNNNNNNNNNNNNNNNNNNNNNNNNNNNNNNNNNNNNNNNNNNNNNNNNNNNNNNNNNNNNNNNNNNNNNNNNNNNNNNNNNNNNNNNNNNNNNNNNNNNNNNNNNNNNNNNNNNNNNNNNNNNNNNNNNNNNNNNNNNNNNNNNNNNNNNNNNNNNNNNNNNNNNNNNNNNNNNNNNNNNNNNNNNNNNNNNNNNNNNNNNNNNNNNNNNNNNNNNNNNNNNNNNNNNNNNNNNNNNNNNNNNNNNNNNNNNNNNNNNNNNNNNNNNNNNNNNNNNNNNNNNNNNNNNNNNNNNNNNNNNNNNNNNNNNNNNNNNNNNNNNNNNNNNNNNNNNNNNNNNNNNNNNNNNNNNNNNNNNNNNNNNNNNNNNNNNNNNNNNNNNNNNNNNNNNNNNNNNNNNNNNNNNNNNNNNNNNNNNNNNNNNNNNNNNNNNNNNNNNNNNNNNNNNNNNNNNNNNNNNNNNNNNNNNNNNNNNNNNNNNNNNNNNNNNNNNNNNNNNNNNNNNNNNNNNNNNNNNNNNNNNNNNNNNNNNNNNNNNNNNNNNNNNNNNNNNNNNNNNNNNNNNNNNNNNNNNNNNNNNNNNNNNNNNNNNNNNNNNNNNNNNNNNNNNNNNNNNNNNNNNNNNNNNNNNNNNNNNNNNNNNNNNNNNNNNNNNNNNNNNNNNNNNNNNNNNNNNNNNNNNNNNNNNNNNNNNNNNNNNNNNNNNNNNNNNNNNNNNNNNNNNNNNNNNNNNNNNNNNNNNNNNNNNNNNNNNNNNNNNNNNNNNNNNNNNNNNNNNNNNNNNNNNNNNNNNNNNNNNNNNNNNNNNNNNNNNNNNNNNNNNNNNNNNNNNNNNNNNNNNNNNNNNNNNNNNNNNNNNNNNNNNNNNNNNNNNNNNNNNNNNNNNNNNNNNNNNNNNNNNNNNNNNNNNNNNNNNNNNNNNNNNNNNNNNNNNNNNNNNNNNNNNNNNNNNNNNNNNNNNNNNNNNNNNNNNNNNNNNNNNNNNNNNNNNNNNNNNNNNNNNNNNNNNNNNNNNNNNNNNNNNNNNNNNNNNNNNNNNNNNNNNNNNNNNNNNNNNNNNNNNNNNNNNNNNNNNNNNNNNNNNNNNNNNNNNNNNNNNNNNNNNNNNNNNNNNNNNNNNNNNNNNNNNNNNNNNNNNNNNNNNNNNNNNNNNNNNNNNNNNNNNNNNNNNNNNNNNNNNNNNNNNNNNNNNNNNNNNNNNNNNNNNNNNNNNNNNNNNNNNNNNNNNNNNNNNNNNNNNNNNNNNNNNNNNNNNNNNNNNNNNNNNNNNNNNNNNNNNNNNNNNNNNNNNNNNNNNNNNNNNNNNNNNNNNNNNNNNNNNNNNNNNNNNNNNNNNNNNNNNNNNNNNNNNNNNNNNNNNNNNNNNNNNNNNNNNNNNNNNNNNNNNNNNNNNNNNNNNNNNNNNNNNNNNNNNNNNNNNNNNNNNNNNNNNNNNNNNNNNNNNNNNNNNNNNNNNNNNNNNNNNNNNNNNNNNNNNNNNNNNNNNNNNNNNNNNNNNNNNNNNNNNNNNNNNNNNNNNNNNNNNNNNNNNNNNNNNNNNNNNNNNNNNNNNNNNNNNNNNNNNNNNNNNNNNNNNNNNNNNNNNNNNNNNNNNNNNNNNNNNNNNNNNNNNNNNNNNNNNNNNNNNNNNNNNNNNNNNNNNNNNNNNNNNNNNNNNNNNNNNNNNNNNNNNNNNNNNNNNNNNNNNNNNNNNNNNNNNNNNNNNNNNNNNNNNNNNNNNNNNNNNNNNNNNNNNNNNNNNNNNNNNNNNNNNNNNNNNNNNNNNNNNNNNNNNNNNNNNNNNNNNNNNNNNNNNNNNNNNNNNNNNNNNNNNNNNNNNNNNNNNNNNNNNNNNNNNNNNNNNNNNNNNNNNNNNNNNNNNNNNNNNNNNNNNNNNNNNNNNNNNNNNNNNNNNNNNNNNNNNNNNNNNNNNNNNNNNNNNNNNNNNNNNNNNNNNNNNNNNNNNNNNNNNNNNNNNNNNNNNNNNNNNNNNNNNNNNNNNNNNNNNNNNNNNNNNNNNNNNNNNNNNNNNNNNNNNNNNNNNNNNNNNNNNNNNNNNNNNNNNNNNNNNNNNNNNNNNNNNNNNNNNNNNNNNNNNNNNNNNNNNNNNNNNNNNNNNNNNNNNNNNNNNNNNNNNNNNNNNNNNNNNNNNNNNNNGUUGGGUGCAUUGUAUUUAAACUCUCUAAAGUAUCAACGCUAAAACUAUACCGUGGAACAGCUCGCACUCUAGUAAGAGAAGUUUUGGUUGUGAAUAUGUCAUGGAAGCCAAGCAGAUGCAUGGUUUGCAGGCGUUCUGGCCACACCCAAAUCUAUAAAAAAAAUGUGAAACAAGAAAUACAGAGUAAAUAUCUGCUUUGGAAAUAAAUGCAAAAAUUUUUAUUCCACUUGCUUGUGACUAAACAACAUUUUGCAAGAGAUGAAGAGGACAGUUUUAAGUUCUCAUGGCACAUGUAGGAGGAAGAACAUACAAUUGGAUGCAUCCAAUAAUACAUGAGUGACAAUACAUUAGAUGUAUGAAUUUGGCCACAAUUAAAUCCACCAAAUGACAAUCUAACCCGCCCAGUUUCUAAAAAGUAAAACAUAUUUUAGAUGUUAGAAGAAUAAAAACUAUCAAAAUCCUUCUAAAUCAUCUACAAGUGAUCCAAAAAUUAGAUAACAUGUCAAUUUGCUGUAUAUAUGCUAUUGAUUUCAUCCCCCUUGGAGAGACCAUCGUGACGAUCGUUAUGUAAGAAAAGGUUUUCCGAUAUAAAAAGGGUGAGCAAACCUUUAUAUUGAGCUUAUGCGAUAUGUGAAAUAAAAGUUCUUCUUUUCCAAGUGAGUCAAUCCCAAUGAUGACGUCAUGAUCUGGAUGGGAGGCAAUUAUGUCAACAACCUGUUUUCAGGCAGAUAACUAACACUACAAAUCAGUACCUGGACUAUUUCUUUCAUCUACCAUUUUAAUCUUUAAUUCAGUAGAUAAUUCUGGAGUGAAACUGAAAGUUGUCAAACUAGAAAGGAAAAGAUAACGCAGGAGAGAAAUUUAAAAAGUGUACCUGCUGAGCUGCAACUUCUCGUGAAGGAAAAGCAUAUGAUGGAUUGCAAUAUGUGUUAUCUAAAUAAAGAAUGUCGACUACAUCAUCUUUUAAAGCUUUGACGAGCGUGUUCCUUCCUAUCUCGGCCCUCUCAUUACUUGCUUCCCAGCGAAAAUCACCAGUAUAGAGCAGGCAUCCAAAUGCUUCGCGAAAUAACGGCAUCACCGAGCCUGCCACGUACGAAAAUCAUCAUGAUCAAUCAAAAAAAUUGCCACAAUUUUCUCAAUAACAACGAUCGUGAUAAUACCGUAAGUAGAAAACUGAACUGCCUAGAAUUCCUUCCAAUUGAACAUAAAAUUGAGGUAUUAAAUAUCAAUAAAAAUAACCGUAUGCAAAAGAUAACAUUCCCCACUGAAGACACACACCAUAUAUUCAGAAUUCGGAUGUCAAUAAAUUUAUGACUUUGUUCAAUUUCUUGUUUAUUUUUCAAUAUAUGUCGAGCAACCUUUUUGUAAUUAAAUUAUUUCUCGCUAUACAAUUUUAUUAGAUGAUUUAAACGCGUUUAUUAUCGUGUGUGCGUGCGACCGUGUGUGUUGUGUGUGUAUGUAUCGACUUCUCGAAAGUAAUGCAGUCCGUUAUCAACGCCGUUAUCUUUACUGUCAGCUUAAUCGGGACUUACCGGGACAAUGGUGAGCGUCAAUUGCGCUAACUUCGACAAACGUCUUCUCUCCGGAAGACGGCGAGACCACGAAGAUCGAAUGCCACGAACCGAUAUCGAGGACGCGAAUCAACGAGAGGUCCAAGCCGGGGAACUUGAGGGGGAAGAGCUUGGCGGUGAGUCGCGAGCAGAAGAGUGGGCCCCUCGCCCACGCCGAGCUCAGGCCUUGGGUGUGGUCCAAGUGUAGGUGAGUUAAAAAGUAAACCUGACUUCCUUCUGUCCAUCGAUCCACCGAGAUCAGGCCUUUCUCCAUUUUUGUGCAUGAGAUCAGCGGUGGCGGUUUCUCAAUUGAGAGGGAGAAUUAAAACGGCUGUAUUUUUGAAAUUUCAAAUAUUUUUCAGCCUUUAUGGAUGAGUGAACCCGUUACCCGUGGCUCCUGGGUAGUGGAAAGCUGAAAUGCUUCAAGUUGUUGUGGACCCGUGGCGCUACUGGGUAGCAGUAGCACAUCUUUGGAUCCUACGGCGUCGUUUCAGUCAGCACCCUGCACCCGCACCGGUUGGCUUUUUCAAAGAGAUUGAAUGACGUAAGUAUUUAUCAUUUUAGAAGUCAUUUUUUCAAAGAUAAUUAUCUGAAAGAAUAUUAUUUUAAAGAAAAAGUAUUUAUCAUUUACUCUUCAAAGACUCUCCCAAUAUUAAAGAGGAUAUUUAUUCCUUCUACACAUUGGAAAAGAUAUAUAAUCAUAUCUAAUUAUAUAUUUAGGAGGUAAAUGAAGUCUCAAUAUAUACUCACAGUCAAAGGACACCAAUAUAAACAUGGCGUAUUUUUUAGGAUGAAAAAUAGUGUAUAAUUAUGUAGUGUUUUAAAUUAUUAGUACAUUGAGUUCGUGUUCCAUGGUUAUUAUUGUUCAGUAAUUUUUGGUGGAAUUAAAUUUAGGGGCAGUAAAAUGAAUAAAUUAAUCGAAUUUGAAUCGAAUAGUAAAUGAAUUAGGUCAAAAUUCUACGGAUUUAGAUUCAAUUUGUUUAUUAAACAAGUUGAAAUCUCAAGAUUCAGAUUCUCUUUUUUAUUAAAUGAAUAUUCAAUUCGAUUUGUUUAAUUAAUUUAGUAGAAUCAAUAAAUAAAUCGAAUUGAAUCGAAUCUUAAUUCAUUUACUAUUCAUAUAUCUUAUAAUGAAUCCAUAACGAAUCGAAUUAAAUAUGAAUUUGUUUACAAAAAUAUAAUUAAUAAAUAAAAAUUAAGCAAAAUAAAAUAUAAAAAGACCAAAAAUUUAACAUCUUAUAAAAUACAACUUAUUAUCAUUUAUAAUUAAUAUAUUAGCCUUCAAACUAUAAAAUUUUCAUACAUAUUUAAGGAUAAAUAAGUAAUUUAAUUAAACGAAAAAGUAAAUGAAUUAAUCAUAUUUGAUUCGAUUAUAACCUAUUUAUUAAGCGAAUCCUAAACUAAGAAAUAAAUAAAUAUCCUCAAACAUGAAUUCAAUUCGUUAAAUUAGCGAAUCAAAUUGAAUAAACGAAUCCUAACUCAGAUUGCCACUCCUAUAAUUAAUUAAUUAACUAUAUUUUUACUUAUUUAAAGAAAAUGAGAAGUGAAAAACAAACGAACCUAUCACAGACAACUUAUCCAAUAAAAACAUUUUCCACUAAACCAAGAAUCAGCUUAGCAAGUUAGCAUGAUAAAAAUAAACCCAUUCCAAGAAAAUGCAACGUUCUGUUAACUGAAAAAGCUACAAUUGCAUGCGCAUGGACCUUGGUACAUGUAAAUUGCAAGGUGCUCUGAGUAUUUUUUAUGAAUCAAAGAAUGAAAGAAUCAACAUAGAACAUUGCGGGUAAGUUCUCGCGCAAGCCCUCAAUUGCGGAAAUAUUGUUUUUUAACAGAUUCAGUAUAUGAAGUCCUCGAGGAAGGGCACCAGCGGUGAUCCUCACUACAAGGAGUAAAAGGACAGAUAAAAUGUUCAACAAAAGCGAUACUUCCUUGGAUCUGGAGUACACUAUUUUUGCAUGUAAUAGAUAAUAAAUGCACAAGGAUAGAGCUGCCAAUGGACGUGCAUACAUAUGGCAUUUCCUGAUUGAUUGAGACCCUGAGGCUGACAAAUGCACUAAAAAAAUCGGAUGGCAACCGAUCUAAGAUUUGACUGCUGAACUGUUGUGGCGGAGGCACUCAAAAAAGAUAUAUAUAUAUAUAUUUUUACAGCUUCCACGCCAGUAGUUACCUUACCAUCCACUUUAAUAGCAGUUGGACCAUUCAAGCCCUCAAAAUCUCUCUUCACCUGAUCAUUAGAAACAGAUGUUUCAUUUGAUUCUUCCAAUUGGCUGCAAUGCUAAAGAUCAUUAACCCACUCUUGAAUGCGCUUAAUCGUAAAAUGCUUGCCCGGCAAUUUAUCCCACUGGCCAUCCGCGGAUUCUCCUUGAAGGUAUUUUUCAGAGUUCUCAUCUGGCAUUACCCAAUCUUUUGCUAAAGCAGAAUAAUUAUAAGAAUCAUAGCAAUAGUCAGCCACAGAGUUCGCAAAUCUGUUUCCUCCAUUUUACACAGAUCAGCAUAUCUUUCUUGCUUUUGCAUAACCUGUGCGUCAAUGUUCUGAACUGAAGUAUCUUUUUGCCACAUGUGACAUGCCUAAAAUCUGUAGAUAAUCAGAAGAUCUGAAAUGAGGAGCAAAAUGUUUAAGAGUAGAGCAUUCUUUGGAAGGGCACAAAAAAUCUUUGAUGUUAGGCAAAGAACAUGAUUUUGCGAUCAAAGGAAGGGUAUGAGGCAUAAGGUCAGUACAAUUAUCAGCAGAGUCAACAAGACCAGAUAUUGGUUGUGGCCUUCCUUUUUGAAUUACGAGAAUCUCCGAUUGAGAAUAUAGAUUCAUUAUUAAUAUGAAAUAAUAUUGAGAGUGGAGCUUUUUGAUACUGGGUGGGCUGACAACCGGAGCCAUUUUGUACUGUUUGACCAUUUUGGUCAUUGGGAAUCAGAAGAGAACCCCUCAGUCUCCUCCUGUAUCAUUUUCACCAAGAUACUCCCCCUCCCAGCAUAGUCAACUUCCAAGAGAUAGGCUUUUUUUCAGCUGUCCUAACUUACGGAUCCCCAUGCCAUUUUUCAGAAUUGAUUAUGCCCUUUAUUUCGUCUGAUUUCCAAACACGUUCAAUUGAGGAAGAACUUGCAAGAUGCUUGGCAUCAUCUGUUGAGUGCAUGAAGAACACCAGGUCGGCCAUGCAACUAGUUCCAUCCCAGAACGGAUUGCUUCAUCUCUUAUAUACGAGCAGAGCAUGUGGGCAAGCAUGAGCCGAUCAGAGGAGAGAACAACCAGGGAAACAUACCGACCAGAAAUAUAUGCCGAGCCAAUACUCAUCCCCAGGAAAGCGGGAACACGAUCCCACAAAACCGCGGUAGUUGCGUUUCUCCCAGAACGGUUGAAGGACACGCGAGAUCCACGUUUGCCCACAAUCUAACAGUUAGAGUCCCAUGAGGGGCUACCACCACCCGAAAAAGGAGGAAUCAGGGGCAAACGGAAAACGUGGGACAAAGGGCGGCUAUAAAAGAGAAAGACAUCGAAGAAGAUAGGGAGAUAAAAAAAAGAGAGAGAGGGGAAACGCUGCCAAAUUGCAACCAGGCCAUUUCCUUACAAAUUUCCUGAAAUCAUAUUACACUGUUUUCCCGUAAACACCUUGUGCUAACUUAGGCAUCGGAGGGUUUACGCCGGCAAAACCACCGGCGUCUCUGAUCCGUUUUUGGUGAACGCAGGUCUAGCGAGGGAAAAGAAGGUGAUUCCAGCCUGAGUGGUUCGAGCAACAGUCAAUAACGUAAACGUUGGUGAAAGAAUCUGGUCGGUCUAAGGACGAGCAGAUUUCAGCAUCAACAAGCACCUUCCUUGCAAAGAUAAUAACAAUGGCAAUUUAGUUGAUGACAUGCACCCCAAGCAGGUGUUGUGGGAUGCAAAUGAGUGCAAAAUUGAUGGCAUUCUGGUUGCUUGUAUGGAGAGGGUGAGCCUGGUACUUUCUCAUUUUGGCAUACAUGCAACCAUCUAUGGCUUUCACCUGUAACAACACCUCAAACUAGUCAUAUAUAGGAUCUAAAUAAGUUUAUUGUUUUGAUAAUUUUUAAACAAACUUUCUCCAGGUUUUCCAAAACGGAAAGAUAGUGUCGACAAGUAUAAAGCUCAGAUAUAUGAGUUUCAAAACGUGUUAAUGUUUAAUAAAGUGAGUUUUAUGUAUAAAUAAUUACCUUGAUUAAAGGAGAUGAAAGUGAUGAAGAGGAUUAAAGCUACAGAAAGAGGCCUCAUCUUUGAUUGAAACGAAUUUGAAUUAUUCCGGAUAAAAUUGAAGAAAUUAAGAGAAAGCGUUCCCUUAUAUACAAGGGCGAGUGCGUGCUUUGGCUUCGAGUAAAUUAUAUUUAUUAAAGGAAGGCAAAUCCGAGAAAUUUAUGAAAAUGAUCUGGCGUAGCAUAUCUUGAAGUUCUAGUGCCUAAAUUGCUGCAAUAAUUUAUAUAACGCUGAUUUUUUCCCCGUGUAAUAACAUAUUACUUGUUCUCUAGAAGUUUUUAGAAUCAAUCAUUAAGUUCAUGACCUAUCUACUUGACAGGAAGUGCUAAAAUAAAAAAAAUGUUUAUAUACAUUUUUUUUAUUAGAGGGGGCUCGUCAAGACGAGCUAAACAGGAACAAAACGGGGUUGAGUAACCUCAAACAUGUCUUGCGAAAUAAUAGAAUCAAUACUUACAGGUGGACUAGAGAAUACGUGCAAUCCAAGAGGAAUUGAAUGAGCCAUAUUAGCCAUGAAGUCCGCAGCUGAAUUUGCUUCCCGAAAGAUGUGAGUGAUAGCAAUCUGUCAGUUUCUACUUAAUAAUUCCCUAACAGCAACAACUAAAGCAUAGAAAAUGUUGGGAACGACCACCUGCUUAGAGAUCAUUUGAGUAACACAAAGAUUAUUUAUAUUUUGUGUGAGUAUUGACUUGGAAACACCGUGAUGUUAGCCCCGGGGUACUUUGCCCUCAUGACAAGUUGAAUUCUAGUAACCAUAGAAGAUAUCAAGUGGCUAAAAUUUCUCAUCCUAUUCAAACCUUUUAAGGGAAAAAAGAAAUUAAAAUUCUGACAUGUGAUUCUACCAUGAUAUCAACAUGAAUUUUUAAUUAUUAUUUUUAUUAUUUUUAUUUAGGUUACCAGACCCCAACUAACCCCACACACAUACAAAAUGGGAUGCACUAGUCUUUUGGUGUUGUCAUCUCGUUGACUAUGUUAUUGUUCUUCCUCAAAAUGCUGAGGAAAUAGCUUGGGAGUAGACUCUGAAUAGAUCCAUUACUUGUGCUUGUGCAUACACUGUGGCGGAAAAAUAAUUAAAACAAAAUAAAAACUUCAUUACCAUAUAUAUUUUAUUCGUUUGUUUUAUUUAUUAACAACUGCUUUAGGCUAAUCCAGAGAUCGAACAAACAACAUUACUAUUAAGUGCUAAGGCGAUAGCUUGGAACAACCAAAAGAUGUUUGGCCCGAGGAGUCACCAAACCAAACUCUUUUGUCAUGUCCAAUUCAGUUGGCAACAUUCCCUCAGGAAGCUCCCAAUCAAAGCAAUGUACCAGCUGUGCGGUCACUUGCUUAACGACGGUGAGUCCCAAUUGUAUUCCAGGGCAACCCCUGCGGCCAGAACCAAAUGGCAAAAGCUGGAAGUUACGUCCGCGAACAUCAACACUACUCCCAACAAAUCUUUCUGGAAAAAACUUCUCAGGAUCAUUCCAGGCUUUAGGAUCCCUUCCAAUUGCCCAAGCAUUUAUAAUUACUCGCGAUUUUCUGGGUAUGUGGAAUCCGUUAACUGUGCAGUCUUCCAUAGAUUCGCAUGGAACUAACAAUGGCGUUACAGGAUGAAGCCGCAGAGUUUCCUUGACAACCAUGUCUAGGUAUUCUAGGUUUUCCAAAUCUUAUUCUUCAACCAUUCUUUUUAAGCCCACAAUAUUUUCUAGCUCUCUUUGUAGUUUCUUCAUCACCGUAGGAUGCUUGAUGAGUUCUGAAAGUGCCCACUCGACUACCGUUGGUGAAGUGUCUAUCGCUCCCGCAAGCAAGUCCUGAAAUUGAGGAAACCAUAAAUAACUGAAGCAGAUAUUUAGGGUUAAAAUUGACUCAUGCAGAUAGGGAUGACAACCAAACCAGGACCCCGCCCGGACCCAGACUGAACCCGCAAAAUCUUGACCGGGUUCAACCCGCACCGGAACAAUUUUCAUGCGGAAUCCGAAUGAAAUUUUGCAGACUUCCAAGUCUGGAUCCGGGUUUCGGUGAACCCGUAAAUCCGGAACCUGGAUCCGAAUAUUAUUUAUUUUAAUAUUAAUUUUUUGGAAAUUAUUAAAUAUAAAUAGAAAAAUUAAAAAAACAAAAAGAAGCCCUAGCCGCCUAGCAUCUCUCACUCUCUCUUCAACUCUCCUCUGAUUUCUCUUCUUCAAAUCGCAUGGCUAUCACCACCUUCGCGGCGCGGCUGUCACCACCUUUGCGACGUGGCUGUCACCACUUUCGGGACGCGGCUCUCUUUGUCUCGUCAGCAUCACUAGCCUUCUUUGUCGCGACCAGCAAAAAGGGUUGAAAUCCUCUCAAUCGCAGCUGUCUUCUGUCCAGCACAAGACAUGCCCACACGGUUUUGAAAAUUUUGGCUUCCCAACUUUCAAACCCCCUCAUACUUCCCUUAUCCAUUUUAUUAUUAAAAAUGAAUCUUCAGUGCAUAAAUAAAAAAAAAAUCAAUUUCAAAUUUCUUUUAUCAUUCUAAAUAAAUUUAUCAAGCUAAAUUAGCUAACCAAGACAUUAUUGUUUAAUUUAAGCAAAGCAAUCCGGGUUCAAAACCCGGAAUCCGGAAACCAGGAUUUUUUUUUUUUUUUACAAGCUAAAUAUGUGCAGCAAGAGUCUAGAAAUCAUAGGUUCUCUUGAAACUUAUGUUGGUUAUGGGAUUAAAGAAUUGCUUAAUCGUACGAAAACCCAGUGGCGUAGGCGUGGCCAUAUUUUAUACAUAGCGAGGGCAAAUUUAAUUUACUUAAAGAAUGCGAUUUGAUGUGCUUACCAUAACUACGGCUUUGAUAUGCUCUCGUUCGAUCUUUUUUCUCGGUGUCUUCUGAUCCCUCGAAGCUCAACAUCACAUCAACGAAAUCCUGGGUUCUAUUUUCAUCCUUAGAUUGAAUAUGCUCAUCGAUAAUCUUCUCCAUAAACGCAUCAAACACCUUGGCAACAGCCUUCAAACGCUUUGUCAGGCCCUGAAGAUCAAGUCCUGCAAUUUGAGGAAUGUAAUCACCCAAAUUAGGCUUUCCAACCAAUUCGAAGUCCUCUUGAAUCACAGUCUCAAACCCUCUCUCAUCGAAUUCAUCAUCCGAACGUUUCUUCCCAAGUACCAUUCUACAGGUCAUGUUAGCACUCAAAGCCGAAAGCUUGGCACUUAUGUCAACCACACAAGGGGCACGCGCCGCCUCUUUGAAGUACUCAAUCAAAAGAUCAAGCUCUUCUUUUCUUAUAGGCUGAAAAUAAUUGAUCUUGGCAUUAGUCAACAGAUUUUGGGUGCAAAGUUUUCGGAUUUUUCUCCAAUAAGACCCAUAUGGGGCCAUUGCAAAAUUCUUUUGCUGAUAAGAAAUAUACUUGGUAGCUUGAAGGGGAGGCCUGCUGGCAAAGAUAAGGUCAUGUGUUUUGAGAAAUUCAGCUGCUUGUGGUGAAGAGACAACAAUUGUAGUCAUUAAGCCCAAGCGUAAGUGCAUGAUGGGGCCAUAUAUUUUGGCUAGUUUAUGCAAAGCUCUGGGAGGAAAUUUGCCUAACAAAUGAAGGCAUCCGACAAUUGGAAACCCUUUUGGCCCUGGAGGCAAUAUCUUUCUGUUCUUUGUGUGUGGUUUCGAAGAAAAUGCUUGGAGGAAAAAGAAAAUUGCAGCUAGAGUAAGCAAAGUCCAUAACCAUGAAAUGAUGAUCUAGUAAUGCUAGAAAAUUGAGACUCCAGUUUUCAGUGAUGAAGAUGCAGAAUUGGUGCAACCGGGACGUUUAUUUUUAUAGUUGGAGAAUUUGUUCGCAGUCAAGAGAGUUAGUGAAGCGGUUUAGUAGUGAAGGUGUUUAACUUUUGUGAUAUCCCUUAGUGAAGGGGUUUAGUGAAGGUGCUUAGCUUUUGUGAUAUCCCUUAGUGAAGGUGUUUAGUAGUGAAGGUGUUUAGCUUUUGUGAUAUGCUUCUUUUGCUUCCAUUGUUGUUAUUUGUUGGACUUCAAAGAGACAAUUUUAAAGAAAGAGUUGCAGCGAGAGGCAUGAUUACACUUGUACCCAAAAUUUCAGAAAAUUUUAAAAUAAUAGAUUAAAUAAUAGAAAGUAAGUGCCCAUUAAUGACUGGCAACCCCUUCGAAAAAAUUUCCCUUAUAUUUUAGUCUCGCGUCCUUAUUAUUUUAUUUUUUAUUUUGAAAAAUUAUCAUUGCACCACCUUUAUUUUAUCUUAUGUUUAUUCAACCAUUAUAAAGUUUUAACAUGAAUUUUGCACCACAUUUCUUUUCACAUUUGUAUCAACUAGUCACUCUUGCAUUAAUACUAUUAAAUAAUUUUAAUAAAAUGAUAAUUUUACCCCUAAAUAAAUUAAAAGACUAUUUUAUCUUAUAAAAACUUUUAAAAUUAAAAAUUAUAAUCAUAAAAAUAUCCCUAAAUUUCAUAAAAAAAUAAAUCCCAAAUAGAGGUGCUCAAUGGAUUUUUACUAAAUUUAGAUUUUAUAAAAUUUUAACAAUUAUUUUGAUUAAAAAUUAUAAUUUUACAAAAUUUUAAUAAAAAUAAAUGAAUUUAUUUAUUGAAAAUUAUAAUUUUGUAAAAUUUUAUUAAAAUAACUGAAUUUAUUUCUUAAAAGAAUAAAUCCUAAAAUUUUAAUAACUUAGGUGAUUUUUAUUAAACCCCAAAAUUUUGUAAUUAGUUUUAUAAUUAUAUUUUUAUAUUAAAAAUAAAAUUCUAAUUUUGGGAUUUAUUUUUAUUAAAUUUAGGGAUGUUUUUAUCAUUAUAUAUUUUUUUAUUUUUUGAAGUUUUUAUAAAAUAAAAUGAUCUUUUAAUUUAUUUGGGGAUAAAAUUAUCAUUUUAUUAAAAUUAUUUAAUAGUGUUAAUGCAAAAGUGGCCAGAAUUUUGUAGUGGUUGGAUGAACAUAAGACAAAAUAAAAGUGGUGCAAUGAUAAUUUUCCUUUUAUUUAUAUAAAAUUAUCCAACUUUUUUUUACUUCAAUCAGGACUUUAGAUUUGGCAUUUUCAUCUUCAGUUCUAUUUCUUUUUUCAAGUUUUUUUUAUUACAUGAGACUAUUGUUUAAGAGUACAACUCCUAUUACAUGAGAUUACAAAUUAGACUAUUACUAUGACUAGUUUACAUUAUUUCUUAUGAAGUCCGCCUAGAUAUUUGGUGUCUUCAUCUUCAAUUCUAUUUCUUUUUUCAAGUUUUGUUUUUAUUGCAUGAGACUAUUACUCAAGAGUAGGGAUGGCAACCAAACCCGGACCCAGACUGAACCCGGAAAAUUCGGUCCGGAUUCAACCCGCACCGCAAUAAUUUUUAUGCAGAAUCCGAAUCAGUUUUUGAGAACCCGCAUACUUCCGGGUCCGGGUCCGGUUUCAGGUGAACUCGCAAAUCUGGAACCCGGAUCCGGAUAUUAUUUAUUAAAUAUAAAUAGAAAAAAAAAACAAAAUGGAGCCCUAGAUCUCUCAAUCUCUCUCGUUCGGUUCCUCUCUCGAUCUCUCACUCUCUUCAACUGUAAUUUCUCUUCUCUCAAUCUCUCAUAUGUUCCUCUAAUCCUCUCUCAAUCUCUCUCACCCGUUCCUCACUUAAUCUCUCUCACUCUCUCUUCAACUCUCCGUAAUUUCUCUUCUUUAGAUUAGAUCAGAUCCUUCACGGCGUGGCCUGUCAUCACCUUUAUGGUGCGGCUGUCAUCACUCAUCAGCAUCACUCGUCUCAUCUCUCACUCUGUCGCGGCCAGCAAAAGUGGUUGAAAUCCACCUCAGUCGCGGUUGUGUUCUGUGUUCAUCAGCAUAUCCUUAAGCUACCGCUGUGAAUAUUUGUGAGUCUCGGCUUUGCUUUAGUUGUUGGUUACUGUAAAUUUAGUGCUAAUUUAAUGAGAACUGUACUGCCCUCUUGUUGAUAAUAAUGGUGCUUUAGCAUUCUAAUCUUUUUAAGUUUGUAGCGCUUUUACUUUCGUAGAUUUUAGUUUCCAAUUGUUGUAUGUGCAAUUUGGAUGAAAAGGUCUGCUUGUUUGUUUGUUUGUUGGAAAGGAGGAUAAAGUAAGCAAUCUGGUUCUAGAAAUCUUAUUUGUGUUCUGUUUUUUUGUGUUUUUUCCAGCAGCUUAAGUAAAACAAUCUGGGUUCAAAACCCAGAAUCCGGAAACCCAGAUUUUUUCGGGUUGAGCCCGGACUGGACCCGGAUUAAAAAUAACCGGGUUUAAUACGGGUCCGGUUAUGAGAAUUUUGUGUCCGGGUCCGGAUCCGGAACAGCAGAACCCAGACUUGGACUCGGAAAUUGCCAUCCCUACUCAAGAGUAUAACUUAUAUUACAUGAGAUUACAACUGAUAUUUAAAAAUUAGACUAUUACUGUGACUAAUUUACAUAAAUUCUUAUGAAACCCGCCCAUAUUUUUACUCUCUCUAAUAUUCGAAGGACUUCUACUCCAUAUUUUGAAGGGGAGAAGACUGUCUUCACUUAAAUUGAGAAAGAAAAUUAAACUCCCACAAUGUAUUGUGGGGGUUCGAACCCAUUACCUCACAAUUGUGAGGUAUGGGUUGUAACCACUAGGAUAAAGCCUAGUGGCUUUUUUUUUUCAAGUUCAUUUCACAUAAAUUAACAAUUUCUGAUUCUCCCACACAGGACUGCCAAUCGUACCUCAAGAUUCAAGGUUUGGUUACCCUGUCUUAUUCUUUUCAUCUUUUUUAAAGUUUUUAUUAUUUGUACUUAUUUCUUUAAAUCGUUAUUGAUUUAUGAUUGAAUUAGGGAUUAAGAUUCUCUCUUGAAAAAAUAACUCAAUUGCUGAUUGAUUAUUAAUAAAUAAAAAAUUAAAAGAAGUUAAAUUUUACCCAUACACUAUCACUAAAAGACACAUGACAGAAGAUCUUUAAAAGCUCAGAUUAGGAGAGGAUCUUAUUCCUUGAAUUAGAUGGUAUAAGAUAUAAUUAUUUUUUUUAUUUUCAUACAAUUAAGAUUUGAAUAGUAUUUAUUUUAUUAAUGUUGCCAACUCUUUUUUGUUUAUGUAUUAAAUUUUUUUAUCAUAAACUUCAAAUUUUGUGCUAUGAUCGAAUUAGCCCCCUAACCAAAAUUCUGAACUUACAACAUAACUUUUUAGAACCUACCAAAUCAAAAUUCUGCCCCAAGGUGCCGCAUCCUUUGAAUCACGAAGCUGAAGUUAUUGAAAUUGAAGCCAACAUUUUGGCUAUGAAGGACGGCUCUUUUCAGAGCUCAGCAUUCCAAUUCUUUUUUCUCGACAGAGAGACAAGAAAAGUAGAGAGGGCUGUGAUCUUAUAAAGAGGGAAAAAUUAGUUCCUCUUUUAUAAAUUUUACUUUCCCAGUUUUAAGUGAGAGAGGGGAAUAUUAGAAUGGUGUCCUGUGAAGAAACGUAUAUAUGGCAUUGUAUUAAUAUUUAUUAAGGUGAAGCGCGCGGCUGCGCGUUGUUACAAUAGUUGAGUUUUAUCAAGUGUUACUUUAUUUUAUUUUUUAUUAUUACUAGUCAUUAAAUUAAUCAAAGUUCCAAUUAAACUAAUUCCAAGCCUAUUCUUGUUAAUAAUAUUACAGCAAGAAGUUUGCGGAAACCUAUCUUGAUAUGUAGUUCAUCUGAAACUCAGUUUAGAGAUUAAUUCCAAAAAAAUAUGGAGAAGCCCAUUUCUAACCGAAGAGAAGUUUUACUAUGAUAACCUAGUAAUUUGAACUAUCAUUCUUAACAGUAAUGAAUAGAGGUGUCAACUAUUAGGAUAAGGAAUGGUCGAUAGUUCCAAGCCAUAUUUUCACUUUAUUAUUUUUGUUAUAUGUUUCAAGCCAAAUCAUAGGGGUGAGUUUGAUAAUGGCUCUUCUUUUCCUGUUGGUCACAUUUUAUGUAAAUCAAUUUAUUCGAAACCGGUAAUUGAACUUGGUCGUUAAGAAAAUCCAAAACGCUAGUUAAUUAGUCUAGAUGAUAAUUAUGUGAAAAGAUUCUAAUUGCUGUUGGAGAAAGGGAAGAAGUCAUCUAAAGAUAGAUAGAUAGCUCACCUGUAAAUAUGAAACAAGGGUGGGUGUUUGAUAAUAAUUUUUAAAAUUAUUAUUGUUAGUUGUGCUAUAACAAUAACUAGAAGUGAAAAGUAUUUGUUAUGCGUUAAAUAAAUUUUAUUUUAAAAGUAUUGUGAGUUUUGAAAGUGACUCCAUAGAUUUCAUAAAUCUUACUAUUUUAUUAUUGUAAGAUUGCAAAUGGUUAAUAAGGACAUAAUGUUAAAUGAAAUCUACUUACAAACACAAAUAAACAUGCAUAUAUAAGUCUCCAAAAGCCUGGCCAAGUGAUUUCUAAACAGAUCUAAAAGAGUACUAACUAUUGAAAUCAUUUUUAACUUCUCAAAAUCAUUUUUGAAUUUCUCAAUUGCAGUCACAAACAGCCCCAACAUUAAAAAUUAUUGAGUAACAAUCGUACAAAUUAUUUCAUAAGCUUUAAGCUCAUUGAAUGAAUUAUAUUUUUAAAGUUCUAAGUUCAAAUAGUUUAAUUUGUCUGGCCACCUUAGUUUGACUCGCAAGAGUUACAAGAUUAUAUGAAAUUAAAAAUUUACCAAAGCCUUCUAUAAUAAUUAUGAUGCCGCACAACUCAAAUAUUUAGGUUCAAUAUCUACUUUCAAAUAUUAGUAAGUGUUGAGUGUUAGAAAAUGUAUAUUUAUAAAGGAGAAAAUCGUCAUUUUACAUUUCAAGUUUUACUAACACCUUUACUUUUAUGUAUUUAACCUUCUUUUGAUUUAAUUCCGUGUAUAUUUUAAUUAAGUAUUUUAUGUAUUUUAGGGGCAUCAUAGUCAUUUCACAAUAAACGAGAGAUCAGACGGCAAAACGGACAUCACUUUUGAACUCAGGACGGUCGAAAACCUUAAGAGGGGCAUAAAAGGAAAAAUGGCACUGUUCACAUGUACGGUACUAUUCACGUGUACGGUACUGUCUACGUUACUGUUCACGACAUUGUUCACAUAGACAGAUCGAUGAUGUGGCAUUGACUGAUGAUAUGGCAUUGACUGAUGAGGUGUCACGAUCCUGUUGGACUAAAAUUCUUAUGUACUGUUGAUGGUGACAUGGCAGCAUAUCGGUGGACCAAAAAUCUUGCGUACGAUACAUGCAUCACACAGAAUUAUUUUUAACCAAACUGCGUCACUGUUUAACCUGGGUCAAACCGUGUUACUGUUCAUCCACAUGGUCAAACCGCGUACUGUUGACUGAUGACGUGGUGCAAUCCUGAGCGUCUAAACUGUUUUUAAUCCGAUGGCCAUGAUUUACUCCAUGUAUCUAUAAAAAAGGGCCCUCCCCCCCUAAUUUGAUAUCUCUGAAUCUAUUUUUGGGAUCCAUUUUCUGUAAUUCCUUCUCCAUCUUGUAUUUUCUAUGUAUUUUAAUAAAUUUCUAUUUUACCCAUAGUUCAAUUAUGAGUAGCUAAUUUUCUUUCAAGUUUGGGUUGAAGGUGAAGUCUCAACAUGUGUCAUGGGCUUUAUUUGGUAAAUUUACUUUCUCUUCCCCUCUAAUUUUUGUGGAUGUUUUGACUUCUCGUCGAUAAAUAAUACUAAUCUUGUCUAGUACCGCCUUAGUUUCACCGGCCCCCUAGUACAAUGUUAUUAUUAUUUGGCACGAUAAGCCCUUAGCACCAUAUUGAUUAGAGCGUGGUUCAUGAGGUGUGGAUUCCCCCCUCAUGAUUUAAUUGGCAUUAAUAAGGAUUAUUUAGCCCAUGAUGCAUGUUGAUACGGAUCCAGAUACCCAAAUACGUCAUUUCAAUAGAUUUCUCUUCAAUUUAUUCUCGUCAUUUUAAUUCCAAUUUUAGAAUUUAUUCUUGUCAUUUCAAUUCCAAUUUUAGGAUAAUCUUAGUCACCUUCACCAUAAAAUACAACCACCCAUUUACAAAAUUAAUUCUAUACACAAUUAAAAUCCACCUCCUCGUGGGAUCGACAUUUGUCUCCAUUACUCUAUUCUACAAAAGAUUCGUGCACUUGCGAGUUCAAUAAAAUUUGCAUAACAGUAAGCAAUCUUCUUUAAAUAAAAUUUGCACAACAAUAUACUUUUGUUUUUGUUUCUCUUAACGGCUUCUCUAUGCUAAUCCAAAAAUUGAACAAAUAACAUUAUCACUAAAUGUUCAGGCAAUAACUUGGAAUAGCCAAAAGAUGUUUGGUCCAAGGAGUCACAAGACUAAACUCUUCUGUCAUGUCCAAUUCAGUUGGCAACAUUCCCUCAGGAAGCUCCCAAUCAAAGCAAUGAACAAGCUGUGUAGUCACUUGCUUAACGAUGGUGAGUCCAAGCUGAGGCCAACAAAAAAUGGCAAAAGUCGAAAGUCACAUCCACGAAGAUCAACUGAUGGUUGUCGAAGCUAGUAAAAAUAAAUACAUACUCUAAAUAAAUCGAUGAUGUGGCAUUGACUGAUGAUAUGGCAUUGACUGAUGAGGUGUCACGAUCCUGUUGGACUAAAAUUCUUAUGUACUGUUGAUGGUGACAUGGCAGCAUAUCGGUGGACCAAAAAUCUUGCGUACGAUACAUGCAUCACACAGAAUUAUUUUUAACCAAACUGCGUCACUGUUUAACCUGGGUCAAACCGUGUUACUGUUCAUCCACAUGGUCAAACCGCGUACUGUUGACUGAUGACGUGGUGCAAUCCUGAGCGUCUAAACUGUUUUUAAUCCGAUGGCCAUGAUUUACUCCAUGUAUCUAUAAAAAAGGGCCCUCCCCCCCUAAUUUGAUAUCUCUGAAUCUAUUUUUGGGAUCCAUUUUCUGUAAUUCCUUCUCCAUCUUGUAUUUUCUAUGUAUUUUAAUAAAUUUCUAUUUUACCCAUAGUUCAAUUAUGAGUAGCUAAUUUUCUUUCAAGUUUGGGUUGAAGGUGAAGUCUCAACAUGUGUCAUGGGCUUUAUUUGGUAAAUUUACUUUCUCUUCCCCUCUAAUUUUUGUGGAUGUUUUGACUUCUCGUCGAUAAAUAAUACUAAUCUUGUCUAGUACCGCCUUAGUUUCACCGGCCCCCUAGUACAAUGUUAUUAUUAUUUGGCACGAUAAGCCCUUAGCACCAUAUUGAUUAGAGCAUGGUUCAUGAGGUGUGGAUUCCCCCCUCAUGAUUUAAUUGGCAUUAAUAAGGAUUAUUUAGCCCAUGAUGCAUGUUGAUACGGAUCCAGAUACCCAAGUACGUCAUCUCAAUAGAUUUCUCUUCAAUUUAUUCUCGCCAUUUCAAUUCCAAUUUUAGAAUUUAUUUUCGCCAUUUCAAUUCCAAUUUUAGGAUAAUCCAAAUCAUUUUCACCACAAAUCCAACCACCCAUUUACAAAAUUAAUUCUAUACACAAUUAAAAUCCACCUCCUCGUGGGAUCGACAUUUGUCUCCAUUACUCUAUUCUACAAAAGAUUCGUGCACUUGCGAGUUCAAUAAAAUUUGCAUAACAGUAAGCAAUCUUCUUUAAAUAAAAUUUGCACAACAAUAUACUUUUGUUUUUGUUUCUCUUAACGGCUUCUCUAUGCUAAUCCAAAAAUUGAACAAAUAACAUUAUCACUAAAUGUUCAGGCAAUAACUUGGAAUAGCCAAAAGAUGUUUGGUCCAAGGAGUCACAAGACUAAACUCUUCUGUCAUGUCCAAUUCAGUUGGCAACAUUCCCUCAGGAAGCUCCCAAUCAAAGCAAUGAACAAGCUGUGUAGUCACUUGCUUAACGAUGGUGAGUCCAAGCUGAGGCCAACAAAAAAUGGCAAAAGUCGAAAGUCACAUCCACGAAGAUCAACUGAUGGUUGUCGAAGCUAGUAAAAAUAAAUACAUACUCUAAAUAAAUUAUGUAUAGUGAUUGAACAGGGUCGUAUCCACAGAGAUCGAUAAUUAUUUAAAUCAUUUUAAAAUGAAAAAUGCAAAAUGGGGGGAUUGUUGACAAUAAUAAAAUCAAAUUAAAAUAACAAGAAUACAAAUUAAAAUUGUAAUUCAAAUUGGGAGAAGCUCUGGUUGAAGGAAUUAACUCAACUUGAUUCGACUAUUGAUUAUUGAUUCAAAUAUAAAUCAUUACUACUUAUGAAUAGACCGGUUAUAGCUAUUGAGACCUUUUAAUAGCCAAUCUCUCCUUAACUAGUCGAUAACCAAGGUACGACCAUUGGUUAUUUCCCUAAUCAAUAGACAACCCUAGAUAUGAUUAUAGGAUUUAAUCAAUUGACAGUCUGAAAAACUAGAGAGACCCAAAUCCUAAUCAACAAACGCAUACGAUGGUUCAUUUAAAUUAGAUUGUUUAUUCUCAUAACACAACGCACUGCUAUGCUAUUUGUCACAAACAUUAAAAUCUUCACAUGAUAAAUCUUUUAAUUGACAAUAGAUUAAGUUGAUAAUUAAAUAGUGGCCAAUUAUCUAAUUAACAAACAUAAUCAUGACAAUAAUUUAGAGAAUAAACAAAUACCCAAAAAGUAAUAAAACAAUUAAAAUAUAAGAAAGAUCUCACAGUAAUGUUGAAUCAAAGCUUCAUUAACUUUCAACCAAAAUAAUAGGUUUAGUUCUUCAUAGAGAGGAGAAAAAUUUAGAUUUAGGGUUUCUUUUUCUUCCUUUUUCAAAAAUCUACCCCUACCCAUUUUUCACGUCUCCUCUCUCUUAUAGAGUUUUUCCUAAAAUGAAAUACUAAUAUCUAAAAUAUUAUCUAAAUAUUAGAUUCAAAAUUACAAAAAUACCCAAAAAGACAAAACACGUUAAACUAAAAACUGCAGGUCCUUAGUUGACAGCACGCGCCCAAGCCUUAUCAAUGAAGUUCUUCUGAAACUCAUAAUUUCUCAAGGAAAACAAUCAUCCUAAAAAAUCAUGUUGUAUCUCAAUUUUAGCACCAAUCAAUAGAAUUGCACCUACAAAAAUAAGACACAAGUAAAUCACUAUUAUUAAGUACAAAACAUCGAUAUUAAAGGAAGUAAACAUUACAAAACUAGUGCAUAAAUUGCACUCAAACAUCAACAUUACUCCAAACAAAUCUUUCCAAAAAAAAAAAACUUCUCAGGAUAAUUCCAGGAUUCAGGAUCUCUUUCAAUUGUCAAUCAUUUAUAAUUACUUGCAAUUUUUUGGGUAUAUGGAAUCCAUUAAUUGUUCAGUCUCAGUAGAUUCACGUGGAACUAACAAUGGCACUACUAGAUGAAGCCGCAUGGUUUCCUUGACAACCACUUACAAUUAUUCGAGGUUUUGUUUCUAAAUUUGACUCUUCAACCAUUCUUUUUAAGCCCACAAUAUUUCAUACCUCUUGUUGAAAAGCCAAGUUUCAAGCUUGCAAUUGUUGAGUAGUUGCAUGAGACAGCUAGCAUGCAAAUUUCAAGUAUGCAAUUGUUGAGCUAGCAUGUGGAGUUUGACUAUAAUUCCAUGACAAAGUUGGCACUAAUUGCCAAAAUUUUCUAAUUUGGCAAAUUGAAGCCAAAUUGAAACUUGUUGUAGGUGGGCAAUGCUCCCUAUAAAUAAAAGAGUCAUUCUUCAUUUGUUACACAUCCCAGUUGAGAGUGUUGCGAGUAAUUACAAGUGAAACAAUUUGAGAGAUUUGAGAGACCUUUCACUUGAGUGUUCUAGUGAGGUUCCAUUUAGGUGUAUUAGGUUUUGUGAGCUUUUCCCACAAUUGUAAAUUUUCAUUUGUUAGUAAAAUUAUCUUUCAGUCUUUGCCCGUAGACGUAGGCAUAAUGUUGAACCAAAUAAAUUAUUGUGUCUUAUUUUAUUUGCAUUUGUUUAUUACUGCAUUCAUAUUUCUCCAAAAGUCGUAGUCACCAAAAAAUUGGUAAUUGUUCAACCCGCGCUUCUGCAACAAUUGGUACCAGAGUCGAAGGUUCAUGCUUGGGGCAUACGACAUUGUUCACAUAUACGAAACUUUUCAUAGAUGCGGUAUUGUUUAUGUUUACGGUACUGUUCAUUGAUACGGUACAAACAACCAUUUAUACUUGAGAGGCUGUCUAUUGUAAGUAGUGUGUAUUUUUUGCAUGUCUAAGAAAGUUCUGUCAACAAAGCGAUAAGAACCUAAGGAGUCUGGGUUUUAAGUGGGACCGUUGUGACCCCUCCAUUCUCCUGGGGACUUUGUUCAAGUGAAAUUAACAUCAUAGAGGGUGUUUUUCAAGUGUAAAUAGUUGUUGAAGGCACUUAUUAUUUGAGUUAAGAAGGAUGGCAAAGCCGUCGUCAUCAUCUUCAUCAACGUGGACUACUAUGACUAAUGUAAAGUUUGAAGUGAUGAAAUUCGAUGGUACCAAUAAUUUUGGUAUGUGGCAAUGUGAGGUGUUGGAUGUCUUAUGUUAGUAAGAGUUGGAAAUUGCUCUUGAAGAAAAAUCUAACAAGAUGGAUGGUAAGGAGUGGAUAAAAAUUAAUUGACAGGCAUAUGAUAUUAUUCGCUUAUGUCUGGCUAAAGAUCAGAAGUACUCUGUCAUGAGGGAGAUAUUAGCAAAGAAAUUAUGGGAGGCGUUGGAAGAAAAAUACAUGAAGAAAUGCUUUGAAAAUAAGCUUUAUAUGAAGAAAAAACUCUAUCGAUUUACGUAUGCACCUGACGUGUCGAUGAAUGACCAUGUGAACUCAUUCAACAAGAUAUUAGUGGAUUCACUAAAUUUCGAUGAGAAAUUUGAGGAUGAAGAUAAUGCAUUAUUGCUGUUGAAUUCCUUUCCCGAUGAAUAUGAUCAUCUCACUACCACUUUGCUUCAUGGGAAGAACAGUGCCACAUUCGAUGUUCUAAGUGGUGCGUUGUACAAUUCUGAGACAAAAAAGAAAGAUUGAAAGGAUCAUAGAGUUAUAGUUACAGAAGCAUUGACAGCACGAGGUCCUUUAUAAAGCCACAAACUUGAAAAAAUAAGCAAGUUUAAAGGGAGGCAUGCCAAAGAUGAGUGUGUUUUUUGUUGUGAGAAAGAAUAUUAGAAAAAGAAUUGUCCUAAGUUACAAAAGGGCAAGACAACUUCUGAUGCAUGUGUGGCAAAUCAUGAUGAGGAGUCAGACUUUAGUCUGGUUGGCAUGACGUUGACAUGUCACUCAAAAGAGUGGAUUUUGGAUUCAGGUUGUACUUAUCAUACGUAUCCUAACAAGGGCUGAUUUUCUAGCUUCAAAGAGCUGGACAGUGGAGUUGCUUUUAUGGGCAAUGACAAUGCCUGUAAAACCAUGAGAAUAGGUUUAAUCGAGUUGAAGAAUCAUGGUGACUCAAUCCAAGUCUUGACAGGCGUUCGCUACAUACCAAGUUCGAAGAAAAAUCUCAUCUCGUUAGGAGUCCUAAAAUCUCAAUGGCUUAUAAUUACUCUGAGAGAUGGAUUUUUAAAAGUAAUAACUGAAAGGCACAAGAAGAAAUAACUUAUACUAUUUCCAAAUAAUACAAUUAUUAGAUCAAUAUCAACAAUUACUAAAAAUGAUGUAGAUUCAGAAGCAACCAAGUUGUAGUAUAUGCGUUUGGGACAUGCUGGUGAAAAAGCUUUACAGAUUUUAGUGAAUCAAACCUUAUUAAAAAGUGUAAAUUCUUGCAAAUUAGAAGUUUUUGAACAUUGUGUUAUGGACAAGCAGACAUAUGUGAAGUUUGGUUCUACAAUUCACGAUUCAAAAGGGAUUCUGGACUAUGUUCAUAGUGAUGUACGGGGACUUACCAAAACAGUUUCUUUAGGAGGUAUGCAUUAUUUUGAGAGGUAUGCACUAUUUUCGCAAGCCACAAAAGGGAUCCUUUAUAUAUUUGCUAUUGUAUGUCGGUGGUGUACUAAUAGCAUCCAAGAGCAAAGAUUGGGAUUGAAAAGUUGAAGACUCAAACUCAAUCAAGAAUUUGAGAUAAAAGAUCUUGGCAUGGAGAUAUGCAGAGAUUGUAGCAAAAUUAGCUUGUCUCAGAAGUAAUAUUUGAAGAAGGUACUACAAUAGUUUGGAAUGAUUGAGCAAAUAAAACCUGUGAAUACUCUGUUGGCUUCUUAUUUCAAGCUUUCUACACAAUUAUCUCCUUCGACAGAUGUGGAACAAGAAUACAUGUUACAAGUUCCUUAUUCAAAUGCAAUGAGCAGCUUGAUGUAUGCAAUGGUGUGUACAAGCCCUAACAUUUCAGAUGCAGUUGGUAGAGUGAGCUGGUUUAUGCAUAAUCCUGGUAAAAGAUAUUGGCAAGUUGUGAAAUGGAUUUUGCGGUACAUUCAGAAGACAAUGGAUGUUGCCUUACUAUUUAAACGAAAUGAUAAACUUGGUCAACGUGUGAUUGGAUACGUUGAUUUUCAUUAUAUUGGUAAUUUGGACAAAUGACGGUCAAUCACUGGAUAUGUAUUUACUUUUGUUGGAGGGCCAAUCAAUUGGAAGUCUUCACUACAAUCUAUAAUUGUACUAUCGACCACAUAGAGACCAAGUACAUGGCAAUUACAGAGGCUGUUAAAGAGGCUAUUUGGUUACAAGGCUUGCUUGAGAACUUAAGAUUGGUAUAAGAGUACAUUAAUGUAUAAUUUGAGAGUCAAAGUGAUAUUCACUUAACAAAACACCAAGUUAAUCAUGCACAUAUGAAGCAUAUUGAUGUACAAUUUCACUUUAUGCGGGAAAUUAUUGAUAAGGGAAAGAUGCUUCUUCAGAAAAUCAUGACUGUAGAGAAUCCCACAUAUAUCUUGAUCAAGGUAGUGACAGUGAGCAAGUUUUAGCAUUGUCUAAACUUGAUCAAUAUCUUACGAGUUUAAAAGUAGUUGGAGAAAGUAGAGACUGAAGGCAAAUUUAAAAAUUUUCACUGAGGUGGAGAAUUGUUGAAAAGUCAAGCUUCAAGAAUACAAUUGUUGAGUAGUUGCAUGAGACAGCUAGCAUGCAAAUUUCAAGCAUAUACUUAUUGAGCUAGCAUGUAGACUUUGACUACAAUUCCAUGACAAAGUUGGCACCGAUUGCCAAAUUUUUUUAAUUUGGCAAAUUGAAGCCAAAUUGAAACUUGUGUUAGGUGGGCAAUGUUCCAUAUAAAUAAAAUGAUCAUUCUUCAUUUGUUACACAUCCUGAUUGAGAGUGUUGAGAGCAAUUACAAGUGAAGCAAUUUGAGAGAUUUGAGAGAGCUUCCACUUAGUGUUCUAGUAAGGUUUCUACUUGGGUGUAUUGGGGUUGUGGGUUUUGAGAGCUUUUUUCACUAUUGUAAAUUCCUAUUUGUUAGUAAACUUAUCUUGCAGUCUUUGCCCGUGGACGUAGGCAUUACGCCAAACCACGUAAAUUACUAUGUCAUAUUUUCUUUGCAUUUGUUUAUUACCAUACUUAUAUUUCUCUAGAAGUCCCAGUCACCAGAAUAUUGGUAAUUACUCAACCUGUCUUCCGCAACACCUCUCUUUGCAUGCUGUAGGAUGCUUGAUGAGUUUUGAAAGUGCCUACUCAAUUACCAUUGAUAAAGUGUCUAUUGCUACUGAAAGCAUGUCUUGAAAUUAUGGAAACCAUAAAUAACAUAAGCAAAUGUUUAGAAAUCAUUAGUUCUCUUGAAAUUUGCUUAUAUUUCUCUAGAAGUCCCAGUCACCAGAAUAUUGGUAAUUACUCAACCCGUCUUCCGCAACACCUCUCUUUGCAGGCUGUAGGAUGCUUGAUGAGUUUUGAAAGUGCCUACUCAAUUACCAUUGAUAAAGUGUCUAUUGCUACUGAAAGCAUGUCUUGAAAUUAUGGAAAGCAUAAAUAACAUAAGCAAAUGUUUAGAAAUCGUUAGUUCUCUUGAAAUUUUAAAUUAUAAUGUAGAUUAUGGCUUAAAGAGUUACUUAAAUGUGUUAAAACCUUUAUAUCUAAUAGAGGCAAAUUUAAUUUACUUAAAAAAUGUAAUUUGAUGUGUAUUUACCAAGAUUGGGGCUUUAGUUUGCUCUCAUUCGAUCAUGCACUGGGUUUCUUCUUAUUCCUCAAAGCUCAACAUAACAUCAACAAAAUCCUUAGUUCUAUUUUCAUCCUUGGAUUGAACAUAUUAAUCAAUAAUCUUCUCUAAAAAUGCAUCAAACACCUUGGCAACAUCCUUUUUAUGCUUUGUCAUGCCUUGAAGAUGAAGUCCUGCAAUUUGAGGAGUGUAAUCACCUAAGUUAGGCUUUACAACCAAUUUCAUGCUCUCUUGAAUCAGAGUCUUAAACCCACUCUCAAUGAAUUCAUCAAUAAAAUAUCUCUUUGUGAGGACCGUUUUACUAGUCAUGUUAGCAUUCAUUGCAGAAUCCUUGCCACUUAUGUCAACGAAACAUCAGGUACACGUCGCCUCUUUGGUGUACUCAAUUAAAAGAUCAAGCUCUUCUUUUCUUAUAAGAUGGAAAUAAUUGAUCUUGACACUACUUAAUAUUAAGAAAUUAAUAAAUGAAGCAGGCACACAACUAAAAUGAAAUUGAGAAAUUAUAAUCAAUUGACACCAGAAUUUACGUGAUUUGCCUUUUAGCCUCUGUCUAUGGGCAAAGAUAAAAGAGUAAAACCUUACUAGUUAAACAAAAAUUACAAAAAUUAGAGUAUUUUAUCUUACCACCAAAACCCCAAUACACCUAAUCUCUCAUUUAGUAAACCAUGAGCUUAAAGCUCUCAACAUUCUCUUAAUUUCCAACUAUUGGCUCUAUCACUUCUCAAAUAGAUCGAGAAUUCAAGAAAAUGGGAUUGAAUACUCUUCCUUUGCACUCCAAUUCUUAGACCAAACAAUGCCCACAAAUCAACAAUGAUGGGCUUUAAAAAUGAAUAUAAAUUUUUCUUCAACAUCCUACUUUGGUGCCAAAGUAUUACAUGCUAGCCACACGUCUUCAACUUACUAAAUACUUAACAAUUCUAGAGUGCAUAUUUUUUAGAUUGUUCUCCAAUAAGAUCCAUAUAGGGUAAUUGCAAAAUUCAUUGGGUCAUAAGAAACAUGCUUAGAAGCUUGAAUCGGAUGCCUGCUGGCAACAAUAAGGUCAUGUAUUUUGAGAAACUACUUAGCUGCUUGUGGUGAAAAAAUAACAAUUAUAGUCAUCAUGACCAAGCGUAAGUGCAUGAUGGGGCCAUAUGUUUUGGCUAGUUUAUGCAAAGCUCUAGGAGGAAAUUGGCCUAACAAAUGAAGGCAUCCAAAAAUUGAAAAACUUUUGGCCUUGGAGAUAAUAUCCUUAUGUUCUUUGCAUUUGUUUCCAAGAAAAUGCUUGGAGGAAAAAGAAAAUUGUAGCUAGAACAAGCAAAGUCCAUAAGUACGACAUGAACAAGCAAAGUCCAUAACCACGACAUAAUGAUCUUGUGAAGUCACGAAUAUUGUAGACCGAAUUCGGUGCAUGAUAUUGUUGAAAAUUAGCCAAAUGUUGGCGAAUUUGUCAAAUUGACAGGGGUGAGGUUGGUGCAAUAGUGCUAUUUUUUUCCUUAUAAAUAGAAGGCACUUCUUUUAUUUUAAUUAUCCCACAUUUGAGAGAAACAAUUCAAGUGAAGAAUUUUUUAUGGUGAGCAAUUGGAGAGUGCGAGUGAUUGAGAGAUUUUUCUUUCAAGUGUGCACUACUACAAUAAACGAUACAUAUGACUUUUAAAAUAAGUAUUAAAUGACCUAAUAAAAAAAGUCAUCUUUAUAACAGUCAUCUAAAGUGGAUAAUAAUAGAUGACGUCUUUUAUGAGUUAUCUAUAUUGCUUUAUAGAUGACUCAUUAUAUAAAAUAGCAGUCAUCAAAUAAUAUAUUUGUACUCCAUAAUUCCUAAAGAGAUGACUCUUUUUUUUAGCAGCUGUCAACUUUAUUUGAACAAAUGACUAGCUUUUGUAUUGGGGGUCAUCUUUGAAUAAUAAAGGUAAUAUUUUUAAAUUAAUUAAUGUCAUUUUAAAUUAUAAAAUAUUUUGAAAUAUCUGAAUCUACUGCCUAAUUUUCGUAUUAAGCUAAUAUGGAUUAGCAAAAACUGCAUUAUCAAGCCUCUGGAGAAGUACAUAAAUUUAUUGUACAACAAAUAGUAUUUAAAAUUCAAAUUACUAAUAAUUCCUGUAUCACAAUAAAAAGUCUAUUAUUUUGACACAUCCCAAAUUGGGUAUCCAUUACAUUGUACAUUAAAAAAAAAUUUCUUUACAAAGAAAAUUACAUUCUUCACAAGCAUCAAAACUCCAUCUCCGAGGCAACUAUCAACAUUCUUAAUCCAGCAACAAUACUGCAAUACUAAAUUAAAAUAGUUAAAAAUAAUGCAACAAUUAUGUGUGCACAUAACCAAUAUGAAAGAUACAAAUAAAUAAAAAUUACUUAUAAUUUAUAUACAUAUCUUGCCAAACUCAUUCAACUAUCUGUUGAAUUUAGGCAAAACUAUUCCUGCUGUACCGUACAUCCGCCUUGGCCGUACAGCAGCUUGUGAAGCUUCGCUAAAAUCUCGUUUCUGUCNNNNNNNNNNNNNNNNNNNNNNNNNNNNNNNNNNNNNNNNNNNNNNNNNNNNNNNNNNNNNNNNNNNNNNNNNNNNNNNNNNNNNNNNNNNNNNNNNNNNNNNNNNNNNNNNNNNNNNNNNNNNNNNNNNNNNNNNNNNNNNNNNNNNNNNNNNNNNNNNNNNNNNNNNNNNNNNNNNNNNNNNNNNNNNNNNNNNNNNNNNNNNNNNNNNNNNNNNNNNNNNNNNNNNNNNNNNNNNNNNNNNNNNNNNNNNNNNNNNNNNNNNNNNNNNNNNNNNNNNNNNNNNNNNNNNNNNNNNNNNNNNNNNNNNNNNNNNNNNNNNNNNNNNNNNNNNNNNNNNNNNNNNNNNNNNNNNNNNNNNNNNNNNNNNNNNNNNNNNNNNNNNNNNNNNNNNNNNNNNNNNNNNNNNNNNNNNNNNNNNNNNNNNNNNNNNNNNNNNNNNNNNNNNNNNNNNNNNNNNNNNNNNNNNNNNNNNNNNNNNNNNNNNNNNNNNNNNNNNNNNNNNNNNNNNNNNNNNNNNNNNNNNNNNNNNNNNNNNNNNNNNNNNNNNNNNNNNNNNNNNNNNNNNNNNNNNNNNNNNNNNNNNNNNNNNNNNNNNNNNNNNNNNNNNNNNNNNNNNNNNNNNNNNNNNNNNNNNNNNNNNNNNNNNNNNNNNNNNNNNNNNNNNNNNNNNNNNNNNNNNNNNNNNNNNNNNNNNNNNNNNNNNNNNNNNNNNNNNNNNNNNNNNNNNNNNNNNNNNNNNNNNNNNNNNNNNNNNNNNNNNNNNNNNNNNNNNNNNNNNNNNNNNNNNNNNNNNNNNNNNNNNNNNNNNNNNNNNNNNNNNNNNNNNNNNNNNNNNNNNNNNNNNNNNNNNNNNNNNNNNNNNNNNNNNNNNNNNNNNNNNNNNNNNNNNNNNNNNNNNNNNNNNNNNNNNNNNNNNNNNNNNNNNNNNNNNNNNNNNNNNNNNNNNNNNNNNNNNNNNNNNNNNNNNNNNNNNNNNNNNNNNNNNNNNNNNNNNNNNNNNNNNNNNNNNNNNNNNNNNNNNNNNNNNNNNNNNNNNNNNNNNNNNNNNNNNNNNNNNNNNNNNNNNNNNNNNNNNNNNNNNNNNNNNNNNNNNNNNNNNNNNNNNNNNNUAAUAAACUUGAUAUUGUUAUAAUGCGAUUUCUUGCUCUUACCUUUUAGAGACUAGACUUACCAAAUCCGAUAAUCAUUAGUAACCUGAAUUUAAUUUUUUCUAGUAUUGCGAAGUUAGUAAUUCAACUAGCCUUCAUAAUUUUUGUUUCUCUUAUCAACUUAAGUGAUAACAAUGGCAUUAUAAAACUAUUCUUAGCAAGGAUUUCAUCAUCUCGAGAGUCACAAAUCAUGUACUAAAUCAAAGUAGAUUUCAUUUUUAUGAAACUAUGACUACUUACACUAAAGAAUCAACAUAUUGAUUGUUAUAAUUUAUAAACAAUUAAUCAAUUUUUACUACAGUAAAAUAAAUAUCUAAAUAUCCAAUUUUCUCCUUUCCCUUUAAAUAUAUAUCCAAAUUUCAAUCAAUCUAAAUAAUAAUAAUUAUAGCAACAACAAUAACUAUACUAAUAAAUGAAAAACCCCAUCCUUGAAAUACCCGACAUUUACUCAAAUUUUCAAAAUCUACUAUUUCUAUUUCACUGUAUUGAUUCCAGAUCUAACAUUCAAACAUGAAUUAUGAAAAAAGGAAAAACAAAGAUCUCAUUCACGUGACUAUCCCCAAAUAAACGAAUCAUCAUUAUUUUUCAAUGAAUUAAACAAAUUAAAGAAAUAGAAAACACCUCAUUGUAAAGAUCCAAGCUUUUUAAAAACAAAAGUGUCAAAUGCUUUAUUUCUUUUCUGGAAGAUGUGAACCCAAACUUCCCAAUCUUCAAUUUUUGACUUGUUCUUCACGGUUCGUGAUUGAGAUUUACUUCACCAUUUUCUCUCUCUUCACUCCCACUUUGCGUUUCUUCACUCUUCAAGAGCGGCGGCUGUAAAUUUAGAAUAGUAACGGUAGAAGAGAUGAAAUUAGGGUUGAUUAUUUGGGGACAGUUGUAAAAGGUGGUAUUUUUAGUGAUAAGUUUUGAGAAGGAAUUUUGAGAAGAGAAAGACGAAAGAGAGAGAGAGAGAGAGAGAGAGAAAGAGGUACAACUCGAAGAAAUUAGGGAUUUGAGGGAACUUAGGGUGAUUUUUUUAUUUAUGCAUCUAUAUAAAAAUGACGUUUUUUAAAUUACGAGUCAUAUGUUUACCUUAUAAAAUAUGACGUGUUUUUGUAUAAUGAGUCAUCUUUUAACUUCCUAUCAAAUUAAAAUUAUCAUAGAUGACUCUCUAACUAUAGAAAAAGUCAUCUAAAAGAAAAGAUAACAAUUGUUUAGAUGUGAGUCGUCUAUUGAAUGUCAUCUAUCUCACUUAUUGUAGUAGUGGUGUGAGAGUGUACUUUGUGUAUUUGGGUUCUGGCAAGUCAAGUUUCUUUACUUAAAUAUUUUGCUCUAAUAAUUGUUAAUAAUACAAUUAUUUCCUCUUGCUCCUGUGGACGUAGACAUAAUUACCGAACCAUGUUAAAUUCAUGUGUCCUUUAUUUUUGUGAUUAUUUAGUGCGUUUGAUUCCACAUUAUGCACAGAGCAAUUCGUAUCAAAGCACAACAGAUCUAUCAGUGCUAGGAAAGUUAAGACUCCAGCUUCCAGUGAUGAAGAUGCAGAAAUGAUGCAAUUAGGACAUUUCUUUUUAUGUUUGGAUAAUUUCUUGGUAGUCAAGAGGAGUUAGUGAAGGUGGUAAGCUUUCGUGAUCUCUUUCUUUUGCUUCCACUCUUAUCAUUUGUUGCUGUCUUUGCUGAAUUUUAAAGAGAAAGUGGAGCCACAUUUUGUUAAUUUUAAAGAAAGAGAGUUACUACCAGAGGCGUAAACUACUCUAGAGCCCAAAAUUUUGGAAAAUUUUAAAAUAUUAGAUAAAAUAUUACAAAGUGAGAUUACACAUUAAUGACUGGCAAGUCCUUCAAUUUGAAAAUUUUACCUUAUAUUUUAUAGUCGUCUUUAUUAUUUUACUUCUUACUAAUACAAAAAGUAAAUGAUCUAACAUUUUUCUCUACAAUCAAAGAUCCUUAUUGCAACUCAAGUCUCAAGAUUUGUCGUCUUCAUCUCUAUUUUUUAUUUCAAGUUUACUUCACAUAAACUGACGAGCCAUUCAAUUUUCUCUUUGAUUCUCUCCUACAAAGCCUUGUACCUUCAGAUUCAACGUUUGGUUUCCUUGUCUUCUCCUUUAUUCUUAUAAUUGAAUUUAUAUUAUUUUUACUUAUUUAUAAUUUUUUUUUCUAUGUAAUUGAAUUACACGACAUAAGAUACACUUAUUUUGUAUUUUCAUAUAUUUAAGAUUUGAAUAGCAUUUAUUUUAUUUUUAUUGCAAUAGUUUUUUUUUUAUAUAUUCAUAAAUUUUAACAUGGACUUCAAAUUUUAUACUAACUGAAAAUCAAAAGUUGCAAUAUACAUUUGAACAAACAUCAAAUCAAAAUCUUUGUUCUGCUCUAGGUGCCGCAUUCUUUGAGUUAUGAAGCUGAAGAAAUUGAAGCCAAUAUUUUCGCUAUAAAAGGAAGGCUCUCUUGAGAGCUUUGCAUCCCAAUUUUUUUUUUAUAUAUAUUCGAUAAAGAGAGAAGAAAGCAGAGAGUUGUGAGCUUCUAAAAAAAAAAAAAAAGGUAAAUGCUCAUUUAGUCUUUAUAUUUUAACUUAAAUAUUUUAACUUAAGUGUUGGUCUAGUCCCUAUAUUUUAAAAAAUAUCACAGAGACCCCUACUAUUAAAUAUAUUACACUCAUGCCCUUACUUUUUCUUUUCUUUUAUAAUAAUACUCUUGCAACAAUAUUCUUGGGGAUAUUAAUUAAUUUAUCAAUAAAAAUUAAAGUAAAAUAAUGUAAUUUUUUACUAUUUUACUUUUAAAAUUAAUUUGGUAAAUUAUUUUUUAUAAAUAAUUAUUAGCAAGAUUAUAAUUGUAAGAGUAUUAAACAUUACUUUAAGUUAGCUACAAUUAAUUUAUUUUAAAUAAUUAGAAGAUUGCUGUAAGGGUUUGAAAAAUACAGUUCAUGCAGAUUAACAAUUAUUGGUUAAUUUAGGAAUAAAUAAUUAUGGAUUAUUAUGUUAAUUAAAAUUUUCCAUUGAUUAAUUAUUAUGUCCUCAAAAUUGUAGUAAGGGUAUUAUUGUAAAAGAAAAGAAAAAAUAAGGUUCAGGGUGUCAUAUAUUUACUAGUAAGUGUGUCUUGAGAUAUUUUCCAAAAUAUAGAAACUAAAAGUAUUUAAACUAAAAUAUAGAGACUAUUCGAGCUUUUACCUGAUAAAAGAAUCAAUUUCUGCUUUGUAAGGUUUAUUCUUCUAGUUUUAAAUAAUAAAGUUGUUUCUCCUAAAAUGAGAAAUAGUGCAGUUGUUCUCUCCUUGUAUUUGGAAGAAGUAUUGUAAUCGUUAAUUAAAUAAUAAAUCUUUCUAUCUUUACCCGUAGGCAUAGAUAAGUUUUUGUAUCCCUAUGUAUGGCAUUGCUUCUCCAGAUUUUCCUAAUUAAAUUUCUCUUCAACUACAUCACCCAUCAGUUUCAAUUUCCUAAUAUAAUUGAAGAUACAAGGAAAAAAAAAAGAAACAAAAAUGACGAUAAGAUGGCGAUAAGUUCAACAUGUGGAUAAUGCUGUCUUUUGAAGCAUUGGAUAUAUGGCACUGUUUCAAUAUUUCUUAAGGUAAAGCGGCUGCAUUGUUACAAUUAUUGAAUUUUCUCAAGUUUUGUUUUAUUUCAUUUUAUUUUGUCUUAUUACCUAACUCAUUGAAUUAAUCACAAUUCUAAACAUUUUUUUUUGCUAAUAUCACAAUAACAAGUCUGUUGAAACCUGUAUUGAACUUCCAAGCCAUAUUUUCAACUUAUUUACUUUUGUAUCUUUCAAGUCAAAUUAAUUGACAAUGAAAUUACUCUUCUCUUCUCGUUGGUCCCAUUUCAUGUAAAUUAAUUUAAUACUUGAAUUUGGUCGCUAGGAAAAUCCAAAAAGCUAUUUAAUAACAUUAGAUGAUAAUUAUGUGAACGGAUCUAAGUGGUGCCGGAGAAACGGAAAUAAUCAUGUGAAAACAGAUUGAUUUUUAGCUCACCUGUAAAUGUGAAAUAAGUGUGAGUUUGAUCAUGUCUUUUAAAAUAAUUGAUUUUAUUAGUGCUAUAGAAUAAUUAGAUGUGAAAAGUAUUGGUUGUUUUUGUUGUGCACGGAAUGCGGAAUCAAGCGCACCAACUAAUUACAAAAAAAUAAAGGACACAAUUAUUUAGCGUGGUUCGGUAAUUAAACCUAUAUCCACGGAGGUAAGAAAGAAUAAUUGUUUAUUUAACAAUAAAUAGAGUACAAAUAUUUGAGUAACGAAUCUCACUUCCCAAAAAUCCAAAUAUACCUAGUUCUCUCACACUCUGCAAGAAAGAUAAAUUCCCUAAACAUACUUUUCUUACUUCUCUCAAAAGUUUAGAAACUUAUAAGCUUAACAAAUUUUUAGGAUACUAAACAAAUGAAGAAUGCUUAGUUAUUUAUAGGAAAAAUGUUGGCACUAAUCAUGAAACAAAUAUCAAGAAAACAGCGUUCAAAAUGCAUUCAAACCGCAUGCAAAAAGUGUCCAAACCGUGUGUGUGGCAAAGCCACCAUGCGGCUUUGACUUUUCAACAAAUCUCCAUCUCGGCAAAAAUUUAUCCAAAUAUAAGCCGAUUGACAAUAAUCCUCCAAACUUCAUCUCUCACAUGAUCCUCAAAAGGAUCUACAUUGGCUGCAUCUAUCCGACUGCUUACGUACCCAAUAGUUGGGAUCAAGCCUGCCGUAGUUCUUGUUUCCCAAAGGAAACACCUCAACAUAAUCCAUGGAUUUAAAUCAAUUUCAAGCUAUGUUGAAACUUAAUUCUCGAAAUCACCUUUGUCAACAUAUCUAAUGGGUUAUCUCUGGCAUCGAUCUUCUUUAAUAACACAUUACCGCUCUUGAUAAUCUCCCUAACAUAAUGAUAUCUCACAUCUAUGUACUUCGUUCGAGCAUGAUACGUCUAAUUCUUUGUAAGGAAUAUCGCACUUUGGUUAUCACAAAGACCUCAAUGUUUUUUUGGAUCUUUCCAAAAUCACCCAACAAGCUUCUCAACCAUAUAGCCUCCUUGACAGCCUCAGUUGCUGCCAUAUAUUGUACUUCCGUAGAGGACAGAGCAAUUGUCGAUUGCAAAACUGACCUCCAGUUAAUCAGACCUCCACAAAAUGUGAACACGUAGUUUGUUAUUGAUCUUCGCUUGUCUAGGUCUCCAGUGAAAUCAGAAUCACAAUACUCAAUACAUUGUUGACCACCAUCAUUCUUAAACCAUAACCCAAUAUUAAUUGUGCCAUACAAAUACCAAAGAAUCCACUUUACUGCAAGCCAAUAGUUUUUACCCGAAUUGUGCAUGUGUCUACUAACCAUGUUCACUGCUUGAGAUAUAUCAGGCCUUAUACAAACCAUAACAUACAUAAGACUACCCACAGCACUAGCAUAUGGAACACGAGCCAUGUAAUCGUGCUCCUCUUGGGAAGAAGGACAUGAAGAAGAGCUCAAUUUAAAGUGAGGAGUUAGAGGUGUACACACCGAGUUAGUUUUGUCACCCAUAUCGAAUCUUUCUAGCACUUUCUUCAAAUAAGGCUUUUGAGUCAAUCACAUGCUCAUAUUCUUCUUGUCUCUACAAAUCUCCAUCCCAAUUAUUCUUUGUGCAUCACCCAAGUCCUUCAUCUCGAACUCAUAAGCCAAUUGCUUCUUCAGUCUUUAAAUCUCAUCUCUAUUCUUCGAAGUUAUAAGCAUAUCGUAGACAUAGAAUAACAAAUAGAUGAAAGCUCUAUCUAGUAGUCUUUUAAAGUAAACACAGUGAUCGUGUUCACUUCUGGUGAAUUUCUGCCCUUGUAUGAAUUGAUCAAAUCUCUUGUACUACUGCCUUAGUGAAUGUUUCAGUCCGUACAAAGAUUUAAUCAAUCUACAUACAUGAUUCUCCUUUUCAGCAACUUUGAAACCACAAGGCUGAGUCGUAUAGAUUUCCUCCUUUAAAUCUUCAUGUAAGAACGCCGUCUUAACAUCUAAUUAAGCCAACUCUAACUCAUAUUCUACAGUUAAGGCAAGUAGGAUAUAAAUGGAAAUAUGUUUCACAAUUAGAGAGAAAACUUCAUUGUAAUCAAUAUCUUUAUUUUGAGCAAAACCUUUUUCAACGAGCCUUGCCUUGUAUCGAAGAGUUGAUUAAUUUGGAGAUCCUUACUUUUUAGUGCAGACCUAUUUGUUGCCAAUAACCAUUUUCCCCUUUGGUAACUUUGCAAGUUCCUAAGUCUGAUUUUGAUGGAGAGAUUUCAUCUCUUCCUCCAUGGUUAACUUCCACUAAUUACUUUCACUGCUACGUAAUGCUUCACCAAAAGUAUUGGAGAUGUCAUCUUCAAUGACUAGAAGUGUAUAGGCUAUCAUCAUGUCUUUAGUAAGCCAUUCGAGUUUCUUUAUCUCUCUUCUUAGCCUCCUUGUUGCUAUAGAAUCAUCAUUAUCUACAUCACCAAUUAUUUCUUUAUUUUGUGGGACAUUAGAAUAAACAAUCUAUUCUUAAACUCUGUGUGUCACAUCUAUAGUUGAACCCUUCUCUAAUGUAGUACUAACUGGUACAUAUGGAGUUGCAUCAAACUCUACCGCUGCAAUACCUUUGUGGUCUUCUUAUCCACCUGUUGAGAACUUGAAGCUUUCAUCAUUGAAGUUUCAUCAAACGUGACAUCUCUGCUAUACACAAACUUUUUAUUUUCGAGAUCCUAAAUAGCUUGAAGCCUUUUACUGCACAUUUAAAUCCCACAAAGAUAGCUUUUCUAGCACGAGGAUCUAGUUUACCAUCUUUGACAUAAUAAAAACUUGGACACCUAAAUAUACGAAGGAAAUCAUAGUCUUGUGCAUAUUUACCAGACCACAUUUGCAUAGGAGUUUUACAUCCAAUUGCAGCAAAAGGCAACCGAUUUAUUAAAUGACUUGUGUAACUCACAACCUCAGCCUAAAACUUUUUAUCUAAACCAGUAUUAGAUAACAUACACCGUACUUUCUCCAGCAAAGUACGAUUCAUACGCUCAGCCACACUGUUCUGUUGCGGAGUAUGUCUCACCGUUAAAUGUCUUUUUAUACCCUCACUCUAGCAUACUUGUAAGAAAUGGAUCAGAAGUAUAUUCACCCCCAUUGUCAGAAUGCAAUACUUUGAUCUUUCUGCUAGUUUGAAUCUCCACCAGUUUCUUCUAUUUCAUGAAAAUCUCUAGAACCUCAUCCUUUGCUCGCAUGGUAUACACCCACACAUGUCUAGAGAAAUUAUCAACAAAUGUAACAAAAUAAUGGCUUCCACCAAUUGAUGCAGUUUUGGUUGGUCCUUAUACAUCACUAAAAACAUAUUCAAGGAUCUCACAAGUAUCGUGAUUAGCCGUACCAAAUUUUGACAAUUGUUUUCUUGCCUAUUACACAAUGCUCAUAAAACUUUAAUUUACAGGUUUUGGUACAUUUUAAGAGUCCAUACCUCAUCAGAGUUUGCAAAAAUUUCUUUGCAGUAUGUCCUAAUUGUACAUGUCAUAGCUUAGUGGUGUCACUGUGCUCUUUAACAACAUUUGCUUCACCAGUUGUACCUCCUUCAAAUAGUACAAAUUGUUACGUCGAACUCCUUGCAGAAUAACCAUAGCCCCAUGGGUAAACUUUAUUGUGCCAUUUUCGAUAGUAAUCUUGUAACCUUUACCUUUCAAAACACCCACAGAAAUUAGAUUUUUCUUUAAAUCUGGAAUAAAUCUAACCUCUUUAAGUUCUUUGACCAUUCCAUCGAAUAACUUGAGUCGAACUGUACUUAUCCCUAUCGUGCGACAAAGUUAAUAAUUCCCUAUCACAACUACACCAUAUUCCAAUUCGCUGAAAUCUGUAAACCAUUCCCUAUCGGGACACAAAUGGUAGGUUGCUCCGGUAUCAAGUAUCUAUUCGCUUGAACUUGCAACAUAUGCCGAAAUGUAAUAGAUAGUGAGUAGUCUAAGUCUCCAUCCUCACGUCCCAUGUUUGCUGCUACUGGUUUCUUCCCAUCUCUCUUUUGAGCCUUUGGACAAUCUUUCCUCCAAUGACUCUUUUCAUGACCAAAGGCACACUAAUCCCAAGCUAAUUUCUACUUCUCGAUUUGGAUCCAGAAUUCUUUCCACCACGCUUCUUCUUUUUCUCUAUCGUCAUUUCUUUAGCAAACAAAGCUUCAGACGAUGCACUUUCAGAAUGUUUAUCAUUAUUCUGAAUUUCUAAAUUGGUCAAUGCUGUGCAAACAUCUUUGAAGAUGAUCACGCUUUUUUUAUAUAUUAAGGUACUCACAAAAUGACUAUAUUCAUUUGGUAGUGAGUGUAACAGAGUCAUAGCCUUGACUUCAUCUUUAAUAUCUUCAUCAAGAUUUUUCAAAUCAGCAAGUAACUUUUCAAAUCUUGAGACAUGAUCGUGCAUUGACACCCCUGGCUUCAUUCGAAAGCCAUAUAGGUACUUCUUCUCCAAUGUACCUUACAAAGUCAUCGCAGACUCCUCAUUUUUCACCAAGUAUUUCACCUCCUUGGUCAAACCAGAUCUGAUCUGACGACAAACUUUCUUGUUCAUACGAUCCCAAGUUUCUUCAUCAUACAAGUGUCUUUUAUUUUUUAGAACAAUAUCGUGAUCGAUUUGAAUAAGGACAUCCAUAACUUCGCUCCUCCACAUGCCGAAGUUGAUUUUCCCAUCAAAUUUUUCAACAUUGAUCUUUUGGCCUCUUAUAACAGAUGUUGAAUGAUGAUUUGACAAAUCUCACCUCCCACCUAAAGUGUCUCCUGAAAUAGUUUCAGUAGAUCUCUCCCUAGUUCUGGAAGUUUCACAUUCUACCAUUUUCUCAACGAACUAUUUCACUUGAAAAACAACCUCUAUGAUGUUAAUUUUGCAUGAAUAAAUGCAUUUGGAAAUUUCGUAGGAGAAUGGAGGGGUCACAAUGAUCCCACUUAAAACCCAGACUCCUUUGGCUCUUAUCGCUUUGUUGACAGAACUUUCCUAAACAUGCAAAACUACACACUACUUUACAAUAGACUGUCUCCCAAGUACAAAUGGUCGUCUCCAUCGUAUUCGUGACUAGUACCAUACAUGAACAGUAAUGUAUAUGGCAAUAGUUUCAUCUACGUGAACAAUAUUGUUUACGUGAACAAUACCAUAUCCCCCAAGUACGAACCGUCAGCUCUGAUACCACUUAUUGUGCACAGAAUGCGGAAUUAAGCGCACCAACUAAUUACAGAAAAAUAAAGGACACAAUUAUUUAAUGUGGUUCGGUAAUUAAACCUACAUACACGGAGGCAAAAAAGAAUAAUUGUUUAUUUAACAAUUAAUAGAGUAAAAAUAUUUGACUAACAAAUCUCACUUCCCAAAAAUCCAAAUAUACCUAGUUCUCUCACACUCUGCAGGAAAAAUAAAUUCCCCAGACAUACUUCUCUCAAAAGCUUAGAGAUUUAUAAGCUUAACAAAUUUUUGGGAUACUAAACAAAUAAAGAAUGCUUAGUUAUUUAUAGAAAAAAAUGUUGGCACUAUUCAUGAAACAAAUAUCAAGAAAACUGCGUCCCAAAUGUGUCCCAACCACGUUCAAAACACAUUCAAACCGCGUGCAAAAAGUGUCCAAACCGUGUGCGUGGCAAAGCCACCAUACGGCUUUGACUUUUUAACAGUUUUAAAAUAAAUUGUCUUUAAAAGUGCUGUGAAUUUUAAAAAUAACUAAAUAUAUUUCAUAAAUUUUACUAUUAAACUAUUGUAAGAUUGCAAACGAUUAAAAUGUAUAUAAUGUUAAACAAAUUUUAUUUACAGAUUUAUAUACAUAUUUAUAUGUUCCCAGGGGCUAGCCCAAUUAGAUUUCAAGAAAUUUAAUUUAGCCGACCAUCCUUUUCAAAUCCCGGGGAGACAGAUGGUUAACAAUAGAUUUAUGCCAUGCCAGCCCCUAUACAUUUAAAAAAAAAAUUUAAAAAAUGUAACCAUGUAUGUAUGUAAUACUUUUGAUUAUUUUUAUAUAACAUUUGAAAAAAAAAAAUAUGAUUUUUUUAUUUUGUUAAUUAUAGUUCUUUUAUUUUUUCAUCUUAAAAGAAUUGAUAAUAAAAGAUUGAGUAAUGAUAUAGCCACAAACUCUUGUAUAAAUUUAAUUUGUAUAAACUGUUGUGACAUUAAUUCAUUGGUUGAAUUAAAUAUCUCUUGACCCACAUGAUUUAUUUCUAUUAUUUUAUAUUUUCAUUCAACCAAUGAAUUAAUACCACAUUAGUUUGUACAAGAAUUUGUGGCUGUAUCAUCACUCUAAAAGAUUAACUGAUUUUCGUUAAUUCACUGAGUUUAUUUCUAUUUAAAUAAGGAUAUUUUUUUUUUAAAUGUAACAAAUGUGAAGAUUCUCUACUGGUUUUCAAAAUUAACCAUUAACUUAUCAAAAUCAUUUUUAAGCUUCCCAAUAAUAAAAAAUGGGCCCUAUCACUAAAAAUUAUUAAGUAAUAAUCAUAUCAAUUAUUUAAUAAGCUUAGGUUUAUUGAAUGAAUAAUAACAUUGAUGCUCUGAGUGAUCAGGUUGUUUUUUUUUUUUUAACUAGCAAUCCAAAUUUUAAAAUUGGGAGAGAAUAUUGGUGCCAAAAAAUUAAUUUGGUGUUUGCCCAUUCCCUUACCUUUCUAAACUUUAAAAAAAUAUAUAUAAAGCUCUCAGCUGUCCAAUUAUUUUUAAUAUUAUUUUAAUUUGCUGCUACUUAUAAUUAAAAUUUUAUGAAAACCUUCUAGAAUAAUUAUAAUGCUACAAAACUCAAAUAUCUGGGUAAUAAAUCUACUUUCAAAUAUUACAAAAGAAUCUUCUUUGAAGUAAUUGUUGAGUGAAAAAUGAUUUUACAUGUUAAUUUGUUUAACUUUUUUCUCCUAAAAGUACUUUGUAUUAAUCCAGAAAUCAAACAAACAAAAUUAUAAUUAAAUCUUAAGGCAAUAACUUGCAAUAGCCAAAAGAUGUUUGGCCCUAAGUGUUAUAAGGCCAAACUCUUCUGUCAUGUCCAAUUCAAUUGGCAACAUUCCCCUAGGAAGCUCCCAUUCAAAGCAAUGCACAAGCUGUGCAAUCACUUGCUUUACAAUGGUGAGUCCCAAUUGCAUUCCAGGGCACACUCUGCGGCCAGAACCAAAUGGCAAAAGCUGAAAGUCGCGUCCACGGAGAUCAAUACUUCUCCCAACAAAUCUUUCCGGAAAAAAAAAAAUAAAUAAAUUCAGGAUCAUUCCAAGCUUCAGGAUCUCUUCUAAUUGCUCAAACGUAUGUAAUUACUCUUGAUUUUUUGGGAAUGUGGAAUCCGUUAACUAUGCAGUCUUCGGUAGAUUCGUGUGGAAUUAGCAAUGGCGCUAUAGGAUAAAGCCUCAGGGUUUCCUUGACAACCAUGUCAAGGUAUUAGAGGUUUUCUAAAUCUGAUUCUUCAAUCAUUCUGCUUAGGCCCACAAUUUUUUUCUAGCUCCUUUUGUAGUUUCUUCAUUACUUUAGGAUGCUGGAGGAGUUCUGAAAGUGCCCACUCGACUGUUGUUGCUGAAGUGUCCAUUGCUACUGCAAGCAUGUCCUGAAAAUAAAGAAAACACAAAAACUAAUGUUUAGAGUUAUUAAUGAAUCGGGAUCAUCUUCUUAUAUGUGUUAACAAAAUCUUUUAACAAUAUGCUUUUUGUCACAUAUUUUUAAUUGAUCAUGUGUACUCAAGAUCUAUUCUGUUAUUUACUAUCAAUCACAUAUCUAUAUUUGUCGAUGUGAAGGCUCGAAACAUGAGAAGAUUUGGUCCUUUAAUGAUUCAUAAGCUCAUAUAAAAGAGGGAUCAUUGGUUUCACCUAAAAGUUAAGGUAUGAUAUAUGGUUUUGUAUGAAUUAGUUAAAUGUGCAUUCCAGCGUGAGAAAUUGAUUUCAAAUUAAAAGGGUUGGUAAAGCAACCAAGUUAUUGCAGAGACUAAAAUGAAUUAAAAAAAUGUAAAUAAUAAUUACUGUUUAAAAAAAAAAAUGAAACUAGCAAUCAAUAAAUCUUUAGUGCCCUUUUAUGUGUUGGCAAUAUUUCAAUUAUAAAAACCGACCAAGGAGUUCGAUUCUUCAAGAACCGAACAACGACCUGACUAAAAUCAUUGAAAAACGACCGAACCGGCAGGUUCAGACUAGUUCAUCGCUUUUCAACUCACCCCCAGGUAAUCAGCUAGAACCAUAUUAUUAAGCAUCCUAAUUAACAAAGACAAACUUAUAAUGCUAAUUUGAUAUUGCUCUAUCACCGCCAUUAGAUUUAAAAUAAUCAAUGGCUAAAAUUAUGGGUCAAAAUGUUUUAAGCGAAAUAAUUAAAAUCAGAAAAACCUUGUCCUAUAUAUAUAUAUAUAUAUAUAAAUGCUCUAAUCCGAAAGUAUAAAGUGGGGAGCGUUGGGAAAACACAUAAACCGUACGGUUUAAACGCUUUAAGUUGUAAGUUUUUAAAACCUUGCAGUUUUAAAAUUUUUCCGAAUUUUUCCCACACUUUAAGAUCCCAAACGUUUAGAAGCGGUUAGUAACAGACUUAAUUUUACCGCCAGCACAAUGAAUGAUGGCCGCAUCUUCACUUCCACCACGUCUCAACAAAAUUUAGAGAAGUUCAACGAUUAAUCAGUGGACCUCACAAAUAAGAGAAGCUGUGAACAAAAACGAAGCCCACAAAGCCCUUCUUCUCUUUCGCCAAUUGAAACAAAACGACAUCGAACCAAACAACUUAACAUUUCCCUUCAUAGCCAAGGCUUGUGCUAAGCUCUCUGAUCUUAUAUGCUUCCAAAUGAUUCACGGCCACAUCGUGAAAUCACCCUUUUGGUCCGAUAUCCUUGUGCAAACAACAAUGGUGGAUAUGUAUGUGAAACGUAAUCGGUUAGAUUGCACGUUUAAUAUAUUUGACGAAAUGCCUUAUAGAGACGUGGCGUCGUGGAAUGCGAUGCUUGUGGGGUUUGCUCAGAUGGGUUUCUUGAAAAAGUAUUGUGUCUUUUUCAUAAUAUGAGGCUUGUUGGAAUCCAAGCUGAUUUUGUCACGGUUAUGGGGUUGACACAGGCGGCCAUACAUGCAAAGCAUUUGAACCUUUGAAAAGCGUUCAUUCGUUUGGCAUUCGUAUCGAAGUUGAUGCUGAUGUGUCAGUUUGUAAUAGAUGGAUUUCUGCCUAUGUUAAAUGUGAUGAUUUGAAGACGGCGGAGUUGGUGUUUCGUGUGAUAGAAGAAGGUUUAAGGACUAUUGUUUCAUGGAAUUCUAUUAUUGCCUGAUGCACGUAUGGUGAUGAGUUUGAUGAUUCUCUUAAAUUUUAUAGGGACAUGAUGUAUGAUGGAUUUAGUCCUGAUGUAACUACAGUUGUUAGCAUACUUUCAUCAUGUGUGUGCCUAGAGGCGUUAGUGCAACGAAGGUUGGUUCACUCUCAUGGAAUUCAUUUUGGCUUUGAUUUAGAUGUAUCUGUGAUUAUUACACUGAUUUCAAUGUAUUGCAAGUGUGGACAUAUUGAUUCCGCUAGAUUUUUGUUUGAUGGCAUGUGUGCCACAACUGGUUUUCCUUGGACUGCAAUGAUUAGGGGAUAUGCUCAGAAAGGAGACCAGAACAUGAAGCAGGAUGACUCUUUUAUCAUUUUGACCGGUAUACCUUAGGCAUUGGAAAUUUAGCAUCUGGAUUUUGGAGAUAGAUACAUGUAGAAAAUUGCUUGUGAACCAUGUUUCAUUUCACAUUCUGAUGUUAAAGGAAUUUUAUGAUCGGAUUUUAUAGCUCGUACAAUUACAGAAGAAGUAUAAUUGAAUUAUUUCUGAUGUUUUAUAGUAUUACUACACUUCCAGUUUCUUUGGGGAGAUUGAAGUGUACAGUAUUACUACUGUAUAGCACGUACAAUUACAGUCAUUUAUACGAGGGCAUUUCUAUGGCUUCAUCCAUUAAAAAUAUGAUAGUAUUGCAGCUAUUUUUUUUUUAAGUUACAUUCUUUUGUAGGAUAAAUAAAAGUAUAACGAAGGGAAGUAUAGAUCAUCUUCAUUAAACUUACAAAAGGAAGAAAAAUAGAACCGCUAACAAAAUUCAGUAACGAAUCAAAUCACAUUCAAUUUUCUUCUGAGUCUUUCAAUUAUUAGUAGCAUGACAAAAAGUCUUCCCACCCAUGUAAGGAAGUUUAUUUUUAACAUGUUUCUAAUCCUAAGGAUUAAGAGGAAGCUGGUUAGCUGUCUUGGAAUAUUUUGGAGGAUGAGCACCUUCCUUGCAAAGAUAAUAACAAUGGCAAUUUGGUUGAUGGCAUGCACCCCAAGCAGUUGUUUUGGGAUGCAAAUGAGUGCAAAAUUGAUGACAUUCUGGUUGGUCGCAUGGAGAGGGUGAGCCUGAUACCUUCUCAUUUUUGCAUACAUGCAACCAUCUCUGGCUUUCACCUGUAACAAGCUCAAACUAGUCAUAUAUAGGAUCUAAAUAAAGUUUUAUUGUUUUGAUAAUUUUUAAAUAAACUUUCUCGAGGUUUGCCAAAACGAAAAGAUAGUGUGGACAAUUAUAAAACUCAGAUAUAUGAGUUUCAAAACUUGUUAAUGUUUAAUAAAGUGAGUUUUAUGUAUAAAUUGUUGGUCGUAUGUGCUUGUGGGGAGUGGUGAUAGGACAUAAUUUAUCUUUAUUAUAUGUUUUCUAGUUAUUUUUAAUUAAUUAAUUUAGUUUAUGGAACAGGGUAAUAAAUUGAUGGUUGAGAAUAAUUUGUGCUUAAAGGGAUCAAAACUGGAGAGAGUUGAAGAUUACUUAUGCUCGUUGCCGCAAUGAUAAAGUCCAAAAAAAAAAUUAAAUCCAUUAGCCGAAUUAAUAGCUAAAUGACAUGAGAAAUAUUAGCUAAAUUAAAUGGGUUAUUACAAUUCCAAGUGGUGAGCACGUGAGUGAGAACAAAACAAAUUAAAAGACCAAGCCUUUCGGCUUUAGAAUUGAAAAGGUCGGUGGCCCAUUUUGGAGACUAUAAAAAGAAAACGAAACUUUGGCUUUUGAGGGGGAGUAGCCACCGGAGGAAGCAAGAGAAACGUGGAAGCCAAAAGAGAGAGGAGCAUUCGGUAGAGAAGAAAAUAACGGCAGUAGCAGUUUAAUUCCCCAUGGCUGAAUUUUUGUUUUGCGUUGCUCCCAAUUCAAAUAUAUGUAGCUAAUUUUUUUUUACUGAGGUUAAGGAUGAAAUUCUAUUCAAUGAAAUUCAUUUAAUUAAUUCCCUACACAUAUUCUUUAAUGUUUAUGAUUCUUGUUUCACAUGAUUUGUUGGAAUUUUUUCACCAAUUCUGUCAUGCAUUUUUUAUUGUUAGGAUUAAUAUUUGACGAAAUCUAUGCUUGGAUCUAUAAAGUUGAUAAAUGAUUAUCUUUGAUUCUAUGUCUUUUAUUAAAUGGUUUACACAGAGUGCUUAGUAAAACUUUAACUCUUUAUUAUUCAAUAUGUUUACAUGAGAUGUUUAGAUAUCAUACUAUUAAGCAAAAAAAGAACCUACACAAGAUUAAUUUUAAUUGAUCUUAAUUGUUAUAUCCAUGGGAUGAUAUAGAUUGAUUUUGAAUUGUCACUCUAAAAUUGGAAAUUAAUUAACAAUUAGAUAAUUAUUAAUUGAAUAGUGGUAGAUUCUGAAACUUUAGUAAUUUUUAUCUUAUUGAAUCCUUCUUUGCUUCAAUUAAUUGUUUUCUUAUUUUAAUUAGUUUUAUUUCCCUUAAAAACUCAAUUUGCUCAACUAGGUUAUGAUGAAUAUUAAUUUUAGAUUUAAAUUAGACUUUUCAAUUUAUAGUAAUCCUUAUGAGUUCGACCUCGUUAUCACUAUUCUAUUUUUAUAUUCGUGCACUUGCGAGUAUAUUAAAUUUUUUUUCACAACAAAUGGCAAAUGUAGAUAAUUACAAUAAUAAUAUUGGCGGAACUUUAUUGUGUAAAGUAUUGUGUUUACAACUCUUUAUGUAGGAAGAAAAUAAUAGUAAUAGGUAAACUAUAGAAAAUAUGUGUAUUUCAAGGCACGGUACAAAUGUCACUUUCCUUAAGACGUUGUUUCACCCCUACCAAUUGAGUGAUGUACAUGGGUUAAGCAAAUAUGUCUCUAGGAUAUAAUGAAGCAAUUGUUUGUUUACUUGUAUUGUGUAUCAACGAAAGCAAAUCAAAAUACUCUUAAAUGUUGCAAGGCUACAAAGAAACAAUAUAUUGCUCGUGCAAAAAAUAAUAUAUUGGAUAUUUAAUGGACAAAAAUGAAUGUUUUGUGAUGAAACUCAUUUUAGAAAAGGGGGCUGAGAAAAGAGUGGUGUGGGUGUUGGAGAAUUAAUAAAUAAAACACACAAAAAACACACUAUUUUAUUUAUUCAAUAACACUCCUCACCAAUUACAACUCUUAUUUUUCACUCUCUACACCUUAGAGAUUUUGUUACUUCACUUGAUGCUUAAACCAAAGGGGAGAGGGGGUAUUAUACAUGAUACAAAUUAAUCACAACCAUUCAUUUAUUUAACUACUACAUAAAUCAUCACCAUUCAUUAAAAUCUACCACUCACCUACUUCACUAACCACACCUACCACAAGUAAUUCAAACCUCACCAACCAUACCUACUCAUGGAAUUUUCCAUGAGUUGGGCUUGAAUUUAUUCAUUUUGGAUCAAGUUUAUGACCCAACAACCCACACCAAGCAAACUUCUGAAUUUUACGAAGUCAUCUUGGUUGAGUGACUUAGUAAAGAUAUCAGCUGCUUGAUAUUGUGAUUUUACAUACUUGAUUUGCACUUCUUUUCUUGCAAUACACUUUUAUGAAAUGAUAGCGAGUGUUUAUGUGUUUGCUUCGAUCAUGAAAGAUUGGAUUCUUGGAUAGGGCAAUUGCUGAUUUGUUAUCAACACAAAUCUCGGUUGGCUCUUCUUGUGUCAAACCCAACUCCUUCAGUAAAUUUCUGAGCCAAAUUGCAUGACAAACACUUGAUGUGGCAGCUACAUACUCAGCUUCACAAGUGGAUAUCAUGACAAUAGGUUGCUUCUUUGACAUCCAUGUGAAAGCAGUAUCUCCCAUGAAGAACACAAAUCAUGUAGUGCUUUUUCGAUCAUCUACAUCUCCACCCCAAUCACUAUCGCUAUAUCCAACAAGCUUGUAGUCAUUAGAAAAUGAGUAUAACAAGUCGAAAUUAAUUAUACCUUUGAUGUAGCGAAUGAUUCUUUUUGCAGCUUUAAAAUGAAUGGUUUUUGGAUUCUCCAUGUAUCGACUCACAAGUCCAACAGCAUGAAGGAUAUCUGGUCUCGUGCAUGUCAAAUAACAUAGGCUUCCAACUAAACUUUUAAAGAAUGUUGGAUCUAUAUCUUCGCCUUCAUCAUGUUUUGAUAACUUGACUCCGCAUUCCACUGGUGUGCUUAUAGGAUUGCAAUCAUUCAUCUUGAACCUUUUGAGAGUCUCCUUUGCAUAGCUUUCUUGGGAGAUAAAUAUGCCUUCUUCCUUGUGCUUGAUUUCAAUGCCGAGGUAAUAUGCCAUCAGUCCGAUGUCAGUCAUCUCGAACUCUUUGAUCAUCACUCUCUUGAACUCUUCAAACAAGCUUGGAUUACUUCCAGUGAAGAUGAGAUCAUCCACAUACAGGUACACAAUCAAAAUGUCUCCAUAAUUUUCUUUGACGUAGAGAGCAUGUUCAUAUGGGCAUUUGGUGAAGCCUUUCUCUUGAAAAUACUUGUCAAUUAUGCUAUUCCAUACCCUUGGUGCUUGCUUUAACCCGUAAAGAGCUUUCUUCAAUCUUAAAACUUUGUCUUCAUGUCCUUUCACCAAAUAGCCUAAUGAUUGUUCAAUGUAAACUUCUUCUUCAAGGAAUCCAUUCAAGAAAGCAGACUUUACAUCCAUUUGAAAAAUCCUCCUUUUGUUCUGAGCAGCCAAAGAAAUAAUAAGUCUAAUAGUUUCAAGUCUGGCUAUAAGAGCAAAUACCUCGUCGUAGUUUAUGCCAUCCUUUUAACUAUAGCCUUUUGCAACUAGCCUCGCCUCGUGCCUUUCAAUUUCUCCCUUCACAUUUCUUUUUAUUUUGUACACCCAUUUGACACCGAUCGCCUUGUAACCUUUGGGAAGAGUAGUAAGCUCCCAAGUAUCAUUCUUCACAAUGGCUUUGAUUUCUUCCUCCAUUGCAAUUCUCCACUUCUCAUCUAGUGCAACUUCUUGGAAGUUGACUGGCUCACAAUUAGCAAAAAGGCAAAAAAGAGUGAGAUUAUCAUGUUUUUCAGUUAUCUCAUAGAGAUCUUGAAGACUCAUUAUACGUUCUUCAGUUCUUUCAUUUAAGAAAGAUGGCGAUGAAUCUCCGCAUGUGUUUAAUGCUGGUGACAUAGGUCGAGUAGCUAGCUCUUGUUGUUCUUCUACUUAUUUUAUUUGUGUAUAAUCAUUUUCUUCAAUGGGAAAGAAGUUGAAGUCAUCCACACCAGAGCCAAAAUCUCAUUUUCCUUCUUUAUCAAAAACUACAUCUCGACUGAUCACGAUCUUCCCGUUGUUUGGAUUGUAAAGCUUGUAUCCUUUAGAGUUGUUGUCGUAGCCAAUGAAGAUGAACUUCUCACUUUUGUCAUCCAGCUUCGCUCUACUCUCGUCCGGUACAUGUAUAUGGCCAAUGCUUCCGAAAACUCUUAGAUAGGUGAUGCUAGGUUUUCUUCCACUCCAAGCUUUUUGUGGUGUCUUGCCCCACACGCUUUUUGUUGGAGAUCGAUUGGAUAUGUAGACUGCACAUGCAAUAGUUUCGGCCCAAAAUUCUUUAGGUAGCCUCUUACUCUUGAGCAUGCUUCUUGUCAUGUUGAAGAUGGUUAUGUUCUUCUUUUCUGCAAUACCAUUUUGUUGAGGGGAUCUUGGAACCGUCAAAGGGCGUCGAAUUCCAUUUGCUUCACAAAACUCUAAAAAUUCUUUAGAAGUGAACUCUCCACUUCAAUAAGAUCUUAUGGCUUUAAUUUGGUAUCCACUUUCUUUUUUCACUGCAGCUUUAAACUUCUUGAAAACUUUAAAGACUUCUGAUUUCUACUUAAAAAAAUACACCCAAGUUUUUCUUGAAAAAUCAUCUACGAAGAGAAGGAAGUAGUUACUUUUACCAAAAGAGUUUGGUUUGAAUGGACCACACACAUCAGUAUGAAUGAGCUCGAGUGGCUUCUGAGCUCUUGAGUUUGACUUCUUUGGAAAGCUCUUUCUGAACUGCUUGCCAAGUAAACAUCCUUCACAAAGUUGAUCAGGGUGAUUGAUGUAUGGUAAGUCUUUCACCAUGUUUUUCUUGAAUAGUAGCUCUAAUCCUCCAAAGUUAAGAUGCCCAUAUCGAAGAUGUCAAAUCCAGGAUAGAUCUUUGCGACAGGCUUUGAGACAUUUUGCAACAUCAUUUUGAAUAUUUAAAGGAAAUAUUUUAUUCUUCGACAUUUUCACCUUUUUAAUUAGAUUUCCUUUGUUAUCUCUUAGGAAAAGACUAUAAUCUUUUAAGUGAAUAUCAUAGCCUUUUUCUAAAAGUUGACCCAAACUAAGGAUGUUGUUUUUCAUAUUGGGCAUAUAGUAAACAUUCGAAAUUAUUUGGUGACUACCAUCUUUUGUACGAAAAAGAAUGUUACCUCUACCCUUCACUGGUACUUUUGAAUCAUCUCCAAAAGCGACACUACCAUUCACAUAUUUACUUAGUUGCACGAACAUGCUUCUGUUUCCACUCAUAUGAUUGCUAGCACCUGUAUCAAGAUACCAUGUAUUUUCUUGACCUCCACUUGUAUCAUUGCGUGCUAGUAAAAGUGUGACAUCUUCACCAUUUUUCUCUUCAGUAUAGUUCACCCUCUUCUCAAUUCUGGUGCUUGGAGCUCUACAUUCUGAAGCAUAAUGCCCAAACUUUUGACAAUUAUAGCACUGUACUUGGGAUUUGUCAUACCUCGAUCUUGGAUUGCCUCUACCUCAUCCUCUGCUUGAGCUUUCUCCUUUGGCAUAAUUGGAGUUGUUGAAAUUCCCACCUCGUCCAUGACCAUGACCAUGUCAUCUAUCUCGUCCUUGACCUCUACCUCGGACAUAAUGUCUUCUCUCAUUGUCGGAACUUUCUUCUCUUUUCUUUGGAUUGACUUCCAUCUUGACAAGUUGUUCUUCGAUUCCUUGCUUCUUUUUUAGUUUUUCUUUAUAGGCUUGCAACCUUCCUUGAAGUUGCUCGAUUGUCAUAUCCUCUAGAUCUCUUGUUUCCUCAAUUGUCACAACAAUAUGGUCAAACUUCGAGUCUACUGAUCGAAGUAUUUUUUCAAAGAUCCUUAUCUCUUUUAACUCCUCGCCAUUUCUUUUUAAUUCAUAGGAAAUAGUCAAAACCUGAGUAAAAUAGUCAGAAAUUGACUACGACGCCUUCAUGUGUAAGGACUCAAAUUCUCCUCGUAAUGUUUGGAGACGAACAUUUUUUACUUGCUUUGCUCCUUUGUAAGAGGUCUCUAGUUUCUCCUAUACUUCUUUUGAGGAUGUUGUACCAGCAAUUUUUUCAAAAGUAUUUUCAUCUAAUGAUUGAAAAAUGAGAUACUUUACUUUAUUAUCUUUCUUCUUCAAGUCUUUUAAAUUCUCCUUCUGCGCCGCAGUUAAAGUGGCUUCAUUUUCUGGCACAAUAAAGCCUUUCUUCACGACAUCUCAUACGUUAUGUGCACCCAAUAGAGCCUUCAUUUUAACACUCCAAUUGUCAAACUUACUUCCUUUUAAUUAUGGAACUUGAAAUGACAUCAUACCACCAUUUGCCAUAACUCCCAAAUUGAGUAAGAAUUUUGAGAUUCUGAAUGCACGGAUGGAUCCGGCACGUCAAAAAACUUUGGGAAAGACUCGAGUCAACUUUUGGUCAACUAUCGGCAAAAGAGAUGGCCGUAUGAUCAUGGGAUUGAGGCUACUGGGGAUGUUGGAAAUGGAAACAGGUGAGUUGGUUUGCGUUGCGUGGGACUUGGUAGACUUACGUGAAUGUUACAUGGGAUUCAGGGUAGUGGAUGCCGAAGUGGUAACCCUUGGGUUAGCUUGGUGCAUGGGGCUUGGUCGCUUGACGUGGAAAUUGCAUGGGUGUGGUCAAAAAUUUUAUUUGGCAGGGUAUCUGUGUUGGACUUGUCUUGGGGAAGGUGAUCUCUCUCUAGAAUGUCAACAGUGGGCUUAUGAGGUGGGGAUUUCAUUUUUAGAGGCUGGUUCUUUGGGAAGGUCGCUUUUCUAGGGAUUUUAUUUGUUGGUACGUGGGUUUCAGUAAUGGAAGCAGAUAAUGCCAUAUUCUCAUCGGGAUCCGUCACCCCCUCAUUCAUGGUAGCCAAAAUUUCGAACCGGGAUUCCUUACCGAAACUUUCCUGAUGGCCGCAUGUCACAUCUCGCAAAAUCUUCUUGCCUUUCUCAGUUCGAGACCUCCCUUUUUUGGUUACCACCAUCCAAGGGCCAAACUUUAGGCUACCUUGGGUAACAUUUCCGGCCACCGUUAAUGGCCGUGUGCAAUUAUUGAUAGUCUGAGCAUCACCAGCCAUAUCCUCCAAGUUUCACCCGUCCUUAAAGUUAUCCGACGCACAAAUCUUUGUUUUGUCCAUAUUUUCCACAAGUAAAACAUAUAUUUGAGUGGCACUCAUAUUCCACCUUUUGGAUUUUGCCAUCCAGAAGGAACUGUGCAACCAGGGGUUUAUUAAGUGCAACCUCCACCGUAAUGAGAGUGAAUUUCCCUCGUGCCGCAGGUUCGGUGUUAUAAUCUAUUCUAACAACUGAAUCGAUGAUUUGGCCAAGCAUCCUUAGAAUGCUCUUGUGGUAGUAGUGGAGAGCCAUCCCAGGCAACCGGAUCCAAGCUAUGACCGACUCAAUUUCCUCCGUAGAACAAUCAAAGUGAGGGUUCCAUGGUUUAACAAUAAGAUAGUGUCCCAUGAUUGUCCAUGGUCCUUGUGCCAGAACAAAAUCAACAUCCCCUUCCGAUUUAAAUCUGACUAGAAAGUAAACAUUCUCCAGGUCAAUGAUAUGGAAUCUUAGGGUUGAACUCCAAAGCGAUUCCAGUCGAGACGCAAGUGCUCUAUACCCUAUGCGUCUUCCUAAAAGCUUGAUCACAACCGAGUUCUGGCACGGCUUAACUAACUGGGCAUGGACCUUUUGAGAGAAAGAGAUGGAUCCUCAGGUUCGAAAUCAAGAUCGUCCGUCCGUCCCACCAAAUCCUCUUUAAUAAAUUUCUGUGACUCCAUCAACUUAUCUCGAAAGGAGAGGGUCUCCGGUUUAUCUCCAUCUUCACCUUGAGCCCUAAACCUUGCUUUCUUAGUUGAACGACCGUCAAUUAUCGGUGGAGGGGGGGUCUUUCUCAAGAAGCAUGGUUUUCGGGUUUGAAAAAGUCUAGCUUUCGCUUUUCUUUUAGGUCAUCUGUUUGUAUUAUAUAACGCUGAUUUAUAACGCUGAUUUUUUUCCCCAUGCAACAACAUAUUACUUGUUCUCUAGAAGUUUUUAGAAUCAGUCAUUAAAUUCAUGACCUAUCUUCUUGACAGGAAGUGUUUGUUUCAUUAUCUCUGUUGGGAUUCUAGAAUAAAAAAUAUUUAUAUUUUGUGUGUGAGUAUUGACUUGGAAACACCGUGAUUUAGCCCGGGGAUGCUUUGCCGUCAUGAUUACUUGAAUUCUAGUAACAGUAGAAGAUAUUAAGUGGCUAAAAUUUCUCAUCCUAUUCAAACCUUUAAGGGGAAAAUGAAAUUGACAUGUGAUUCUAUCAUGAUAUGAACAUGAAUUUUUUAUUAUUGUUAUUAUUAUUUUUAUCUAGGUUACCUGACCCCAACCCCACACACAUACAAAAUGGGAUGCACUAGUCUUUUGGUGUUUUCAUCUCGUUUACUAUGUUAUUGUUCUUCCUCAGAAUGCUGAGGAAAUGGCUUGGGAGUAGGCUCUGAAUAGAUCCCUCACUUUUGCUUGUAAAUACACUGUGGCGGAAAAAUAAUAAAAACAAAAUAAAAACUUUAUUACCUUUUAUAUUUGAGUUUGUUUUAUUUUAAUUUUAUUUAUUAACAACUGCGUUAGGCUAAUCCAGAGAUGGAACAAACAACAUUAUCAUUAAGUGCUAAGGCGAUAGCUUGGAACGGCCAAAAGAUGUUUGGCCCGAUAAGUCACAAGACCAAACUCUUCUGUCAUGUCCAAUUCAGUUGGCAACAUUCCCUCGGGAAGCUCCCAAUCAAAGCAAUGCACCAGCUGUGCGGUCACUUGCUUAACGACGGUGAGUGCCAAUUGCAUUCCAGGGCAAGCCCUGCGGCCAGAACCAAAUGGCAAAAGCUGGAAGUCACGUCCGCGAACAUCAACACUACUCCCAAUAAAUCUUUCCGGAAAAAACUUCUCAGGAUCAUUCCAGGCUUUAGGAUCCCUUCCAAUUGCCCAAGCGUUUACAAUUACUCGCGAUUUUUUGGGUAUGUGGAAUCCGUUAACUGUGCAAUCUUCCAUAGAUUCGUGUGGAGCCAUCAAUGGCGCUACAGGAUGAAGUCGCAGGGUUUCCUUGACAACCAUGUCUAGGUAUUCUAGGAUUUCCAAAUCUGAUUCUUCAACCAUUCUUUUUAAGCCCACAAUAUUUUCUAGCUCUCUUUGUAGUUUCUUCAUCACAGCAGGAUGCUUGAUGAGUUCUGAAAGUGCCCACUCGACUACCGUUGGUGAAGUGUCCAUCGCUCCCGCAAGCAUGUCCUGAAAUUGAGGAAACCAUAAAUAAAUGAAGCAGAUGUUUAGGGUUAAAAAUGACUCAUGCAGAUGAUCUUCUAUGGCAUGUAUAUUGCUAUUUAUGUUUACUGGCCAAGAUCAAUUCUGAUAUUAUGUAUCAAUCACAUGUCUAUAUUUACUCAUGUGAAAGCCAACACGAACACUACAACAAACAGUUAUAUCACCGAUGAAAUAUAUCCGAGGGCGUAAAAUACCUUUGAUAAUAAAUACUUUUUCCUAAGGUGUAAGAUGGCCGUCGGAUAAGGAUGAAAAUAUAAUCAAUAUUCCCGAGGGCAAUUUGCCCUUGAUGAUAAUGAAUGCUUUGUCGAAAAUGCUUGCUAGACUUAACUAGAAGCACCCCAAAAUUUACACACUUCGGUCUUUGAAGUAGAGUACUAAAACCACAAGCCCACAGCCAUAACUUCCAAUAAUUUUUUUCUUUGGAGUAGCGUACUUGGCAAAUUUUUUUCUUGUAAAUUUAAUUACUCUUGGUAAAAUUAAAAACCUAAAAGAAUGAAAUACAAAUAAAAAGAGGAAAUAUCGGUUUGCUAAUAAAGUACGUAGAACAUCCAGAGUUUGUUUUAUUUUAAUUUUAUUUAUUAACAACUGCGUUAGGCUAAUCCAGAGAUGGAACAAACAACAUUAUCAUUAAGUGCUAAGGCGAUAGCUUGGAACGGCCAAAAGAUGUUUGGCCCGAUAAGUCACAAGACCAAACUCUUCUGUCAUGUCCAAUUCAGUUGGCAACAUUCCCUCGGGAAGCUCCCAAUCAAAGCAAUGCACCAGCUGUGCGGUCACUUGCUUAACGACGGUGAGUGCCAAUUGCAUUCCAGGGCAAGCCCUGCGGCCAGAACCAAAUGGCAAAAGCUGGAAGUCACGUCCGCGAACAUCAACACUACUCCCAAUAAAUCUUUCCGGAAAAAACUUCUCAGGAUCAUUCCAGGCUUUAGGAUCCCUUCCAAUUGCCCAAGCGUUUACAAUUACUCGCGAUUUUUUGGGUAUGUGGAAUCCAUUAACCGUGCAGUCUUCCAUAGAUUC
This 76586-nucleotide long non-coding RNA is filed under the name Citrus sinensis (sweet orange). Its description in RNAcentral is "long non-coding RNA (CSIN_LNC004901)". Lineage: Eukaryota; Viridiplantae; Streptophyta; Magnoliopsida; Sapindales; Rutaceae. The record is from RNAcentral.